UUCUCAGAUCUGAGAGAGAGAGAGAGAGAGUUUUUUUUUUUUUUUUUUUUUUUUGUCUCGGCUCCGCAGAUUUUUCUUUUUGUUAUUAUUUAUGAAUGAGUGGGGAGCGACGAUUAUUACGGUUUGUGAGAAGGAAGGAGAGCCGUUGGAUUAAAAGCUCGCAAAAACACGGAUUCGUAACGAAAAAAGGCGCUGGCUUUUCAGAUACUUUUUAGGUCAAGUUUGAAUUUUCAAUCAUUACAAAGGGUAUUUCUGGAAAUUACUAACUUAAUGGGCUUUGAGCCUAGGUUUACGUUGGAUUGAAGCCCAAUGACUUGAUUAACGGUAAGUAGCUACAUUGACCUUUGAAAAUCCAUUUGGUUAAUUUUUAAAAUACCUUUCAUUAAAACAUUCUCUACGACGGUGAUUGUUGGAAACCUUCAAACAAAUAUUGACGAAAAUUUUCCAUUAACAAAGUAAAUUAUUUUUAAAAUUUUUUAUUUAUAAAUAGUUAUCUGUUUUGAAAAUGAAGGUUCGAAGUGAUCAAUAUGAUUGAUAUUUCUAGUGAGUUUCUUUGACAUUUUUUUUUAUUCGUGGGGUUCGAGAUCAGAAGUGAUCUAAUGAUCAUAAAAUUUCCGAUCCACGGCCGCCGUACGAUCAAGUAAAAAAGAAAGAUUUGGCUCGGCUCCAAAAGAAUUCUUCAUGACCCCACAUGUUUCAUUGUUAAGAAUUCUUUUGAAUUUUACUCUUUUUAAGCAUGAACUGAUUCAUUUUUACUUAGUCCAAGACAACUUAUGUUAUGUAUGAUCAUGUAAAUAAGGCUAGAUGAUCAGUGAAUUUCAUAUGUGGGGGUGUGUUUAGCUGAUUUUAUUUAAAUCCAAUUCAUCAAAGUAAGAUUGAGUUAUCUUUCUUUAACCAAAUCCAAUUCAUCAAAGCAAGAUUGAGUUCAAUUAGUCGAACUGAGUUUAGUAGAUCGUAGUUUUGUUAUGAUAUGUGAUAUGUGAUAUUAAUCCGGUGAUAUUUUAAAAUACCUUUCAUUAAAACAUUCUCUACGACGGAGAUUGUUAGAAACCUUCAAACAAAUAUUUUCGAACAAUUUCCAUUAACAUAGUAAAUUAUUUUUAGAAAAUUUAUUUUUUUGAAGAUGAUGAUUGCGAAGUGAUUAUUGUGAUUGAUGUUAGUGAGUUUCGUUGAAAUUUUUUUUUAUUCGUGGGGGUUCCCGAGAUCAGAAGUGAUCUAACGAUCUCAAAAUUUUUGAUCCUCGAUCAUCGUACGAUCAAGUACAAUAGCAAGAUCUGGCUCGGCCUCAUAAUGUCGGCACUUCCAUAAGGUUGUGGCGACACAAGAAGUGUUGGUCUUCAUGACCCCACAUCUUCAUUGUUAAGAAUUCUUUUGAAUUUUACUCUUUUUAAAGCAUAGAAUUGAUUUUUUUUACUUAGUCCAAGACAUAUUAUGUUAUAUUUAUGUUCAUGUAAAUAAGGAUAGAUGAUAAUUGAAUUUCAUAUGUGGGGGUGUGUUUAGCUUCCUUUAUUUAAAUCCAAUUCAUCAAAGUAAGAUUGAGUUAACUUACUUUAACCAAAUCCAAUUUAUCAAAGUAAGAUUGAGCUCAAGUAGUCGAAUUGAAUUUAGUAGAUCGUAGUUUUGUUAUGAUAUGUGAUAUCAAUCCAGUGACAUUUUAUCAUAUGAUUUACAGAGUUAGUAUGAAAAGUUUGGUUUUCGUAUAAAUGGCGUACAAAUUAUUUUUGUUAUCUAUGGAAGUUGUUUGUACCAUUUAUCGCCCCGAUCCAAAAUGCACAUACCUAUUCAUUCUUCUUUUUGAAAUUUGAUAGAGUUCAUGAAAUGUGUAUUGUCACUCGAAUAUGAUUAUUUGCUAUACUUUUUUAUAGUCGAUCAAUUUCUUUCAUGAUGUCUAUUCAUUUGAGUUCAAUGAUGUCCAUUUCUUUCAUAAUGUUUGUUCAUUUAACUUCGACGAUGUCCAUUUGAUCGAAUUCAUGUUCCUUUCUUUCAUGCCCACACCUGCUUUUUCGGUGAUUUCCCGUUACAUUUUUUUGCUUGUGUUAUUGGCAAGAUAUUAAUUUGAUCAUGUGUCAACAAUCACACUAGUUAAAUCAUCAAGUGGUGUGAAGAUGACAAUAUGGAUUUCACCAUAAUUCGGUCCAAUUACAGAAGUCCCACAUUCAUCUAUGUUUACUUCAUCUAUGUUUACCUCAUCUAUAUUUCCUAACAUCUAUGAAGAACAUAAGAGAACUUAAGUCAACAAACAGUGGAAUGGACUAUCUUAUCAUACAUCAUAGGGGAUAAGCAAACAUGAAUUUGGGACGGGACGAGAACAAGAAUUUUGGGAAUAGAAAAACAUGUUCCAUACGGAAUGGAUACAUAAAUUCCCAAAAAAGGUCUUAUAACAUGUUAUAAUUUAAAUAAAAUAACGCUUGCAAUCAUGUAUUUAACAUGUUCUUUUCAAUUUAUCUAGCAUCGUUAAAAUAUAAGAAACAUUAUGUUCUAUAAUUGUUAAAACUUAAGAAAUAAUAGAAAAAACAUAAUCUAAUCUAUAUGAACAAACAUAAAAUAAUAAGAAUAAAGAAGUUUAUUAAUUUUUUAAAUAUUUUUAUUAGAAUAUAUGAUAUAUAAAUAUACUAUGACCAUAUAUAAUUAUGAGAAAAUCCUCAAACUAUCACACUUUCAAAUUUUGUUGCCAAAAAUAAAAUUAUUAGUUUAAUAUUUCAAAAAUACCACCAAAAGUUUUGGUUUUCCAAAAAUACUACAAACACAAAAAUUAAUUUUCAAGAAUUGAGAAUUUAAAUUUUGGGUUUGGGUUGACUAUUUUAGAUUUAGGGCAUACUUUUAGGGGAUACGGUUUAGGGUUUAGUUUUGAAGGUUGAAAGUUAAAUUUUAGAUUUUAGGUAUUUUUGAAAAACCAAAACUUAAGUGUAGUAUUUUUGAGAAUUGCCCUAUAAUUAUUUUAAAAUAUAUUUUAUAUUUGUAUUUGUUUAAAACGUGACUUUGGGAAUUCCCGGUCUUAAUCGAGAUUACAAAAUUCUUCCCAUAUCUAGAUUUCCAUACGGAUGGGAAUUUGGGAACGGGUAAGGGACGGUUCAGAAGCGGAAUGUAAUUUUGCCCAUCCCGGAAUACAAUACUCAACAACAACCACCAAAACUCAAUUGGGAUCAUAUGGCACAAUACUUAAAAUGAAGACAAGAAGAUUCAACCCCGACAUAGAUUUCAUAUGCUUGAGUGCUUGAGAUAUAUCAAAGGAAAAAGGGUCAUCUACAUCAUCAAAAAAGUGUUGAGAAGCAAGGAGGAGAUCAACAACAAAAAGCCAGGAGCAAGGUUUUAACUUCAAACAGACACAACAGUAAGUUACAAGUGCACAACCAAUCAAUUGUAGUAUUUAAUGAUCGAUCCCAUAAAAAUUGAAAAUAUGCAAAAAAAUCUGCUAGAAAAGAAUCAAAAUAUGAGAGGAUGUGUGUUUGAUGAUGAAUGGAAUAAUGCAAGCUAUUAAACUAAAAUUUGGUUAGUAACAAAGAAAAUAAACUUAGAAAAGAAAAAAUAAAACUAGGCGUUGGGCAUUAGAGAGUCUUAGAGGUUCGUAAGGAAUCAAUUAAUAAAAAAUUAAUUAGAGAAACUCUAGAACUUAAAUAUCUAUUGACUAUUGUAUGACCAACCUACUUUCAUAGAACUUAAUCGUUUAUAGUUAACAACUUAAUUAGUCAACUCUCGUAGCCAAACAAACAGUUAAAACAUAUGAUAUAAAAAACAGAUUUGACAAAAUCCUCCUUAUAUGAUUGUAUAUAUUCUACCUUUAGGUCAAGAGUAAUACACAACUUUCAAUCGAUUUUCUCUUUUGUUUAUCACCAUUUACUACGAAAACAACCGGUAACUGUUAUCAGAGAUAACUUGGAUCUUGCAUUUGGGUGAGGCUACAUUUUCAUGCAUCUGAAGUUCGGUUGAUAUUAUACUUAGAUCAUCAUCAAAUGGCGUAUCAUCGUAUAAUAUCGCUUGUUCAAGAUUCAGCAUUAUCUCCAAGAAAUACUUGAUCACCUCCGUAUGCUUAUCCAUGUCAUCUUUGUAACUAGAGAUUUCUCCUAACUUCAACACCUUUAGUGCCUAUCUUCACUGGACUUGAUGAUAUGGAAUUAGGAGUGUCUUCCCAAGGUUUGCACACGCAUCUAUCACCAUCCUCCCCACAAUAUUUGUUGUUAUCUUUGAAACGGAGUCUCUCAUCUUCAAAUUAGUUGACAAGAUGACAUUCUAGAUGAUGAUAGCUCAUUUUGGUAAUAUAUAUAUAUAUAUAUAUAUAUAUAUAUAUAUAUAUAUAUAGAUGAUUCUUUUUGCUAUAUAUACAUUAUUUUGGUUCUUUAUAUAUAUGAUGUAUAAUUUUAUUGGGAAAUUUUGUUUUGCAAAAUGUCCUUUAUACUAGAUCAUCACCCGUACUACUGUACGGGUUAAAUUUUAUUUACUACAAAAUUUAUCUAUUAUAUUUUUUAAAAUUAAAGUCGUGAUAUAUUAUAUAAUAGUAAGUAAAAAAAUAAUUUUUUUCUGCCAGUCUCUAUAUAUAAUAUUAGAAUGAAUAGAUAUAUUUUCUGAUAUGAAAAUAGAAAAUAAUAUUAUUUUCAAAAAAUUAAUAUUAUUUGAACAAUGAAUUAAUUUAUGUUAACAACCACAAAAUGAGAUUGCAUAUAAUUUAGUUAGAUCAAAAAUCAAAAUAUCAUAAAUGAAUCGCAUCUAAAUGUAGAUUAUUUUGAAUUAAUUAAGAAAUUUAGCUAGUAUUUUGAAUUAAUUUAGGAAAUUAUUUUUUCAAUUUCUAAUUCAUUGGUUGUUGUAGAGAUUUGUUUGAGCUAAAUACGGAAUUUACCAAUUAUUCGCAUAAUCGAAUAUGUUAUAAACAUAUAGUUGUUAUAUAAUAAUACCAAAUUUAACCCGUGCGUGGAGUCUGUAUUUUCAUUUUAGAAUCCCAAUGAAAAUAUUGUGUGUACGAUCUAUUAUUCAUUAUUUCCCAAAUUGCUUGUAGAAUCAAUUUUUCAAAUAUUUAGAGGUGUCAAACCUUAUUUAACUCAUCUCAUCAUAUAAAUAUAAAAUACCGUCUGUUAUAAGGAUCAUAACUUUCUAUCAUAUAAUACAUUACAUUUAACUUGCUGCUUGCUAUAAAUAUUUUAAAUAUAUCUAUUUAAAAAUCAAAUUAAAGUAUUUAUAAUUUUUUUAUCUUUUUUAAUCUAUUAAAUAUUAAUGAUAUUCUUUAAUAUAUUAAAUUAAACUAUUUACAAAUGUUCCAAAUUAAAAUAUUCAACAUUUUUAUUGUAGUAUAUAAAAUUAUAAAUUAAAAAAAAGAAUUAUAUACAAUAAAUAUAAAUAUUCAAAUAGUUAUAAGGAUCAUACGUCAUUUUAUCAUAUAAUACAUUAUAUUUAACCCACCGCGUAUUAUAAAUAUUUAUUUUCUUUCUAACUUUUUGAUAUAUUAAGUAUUGAUGAUAUUCUUUAAAAAUAUCAAGUAAAACUAAUUUUAAAUGUUGCAAAUUAAAAUGUUUGGAAAAUUUAUUGUAGUAUAUAAAAUUAUACAUUUCAAAAAAUAAUUAUAAUAUAAAUAUCCAAAUUCUUACCAGUUACUCAGUCGGAAUUUUUGUUGAAUUAAUUUUUGUUUAAAAGAAAUAUAUUACUCAAAAAUGAAUUUUUGACCUGUUAAUUUUUUUUCUUCAUACAUUGAACAAUUUAUAUUCGUUUUUAAAAAUUUAAAUCUUGGCAUAUGCAGAAAAAAAUUUACUUUUUUUUUAUUAUAUGGAUGAUUUAUUUAUUUCAUAAAAAUAGAAUCAUAUAAAGAUGAGAGGUGAAGUAUAAUGAUUAAUCACAAAUUAAUAUGGUAAGUUAGAUAUCAAAUCUUAUAUGUUUAUUUUGAUUGGUCAUUCAUUUUUAAAAAAAUUAAUAAUAGAUUUUUUCUUUUUAUAAUUAAAUUAAAUUAAUUAAACUGCAUAAAAUAGUAAUUGACUUGUUUAUCCUUAAUGAGCUGAAUUAAUUUACUCUUUAAAAUUUUAUUUCUAAUGAUAUUCCAAUGUAAUAACUUACAAAAAGUAAGGUUAGUUCAAAAAUGUACUCUCCAAAUAAUAGUAUAAGAUAUCUCUUCAAUAUUUUAACUUAUUUUAUUUUAUUUUAGGAAUGGAUUAACUAAUUUUUUAUCAAUUAUUUAAAAAAUAAUAAUUUAUUGAUCAUAAUUUAACUAAAAGUUAAUAAAUAAUUAGAUUAUUAUAUUAAUUUUAGUAAAAUAGUUGGCGAGGUGGCACUAUAGAUGGAGAGAUAUCAUUUUGGUAUCAUAUAUAUAGGGAAAAUCCCAGAAAAUACCUCCAAGUUGAACAUUUUCCCAAAUAAACCUCAAACUUUUUUAGGUAUCAAAAAUAUAUAUAUAUAUAUAUGGUAUCAAAUAUAUAUAUAUAUAUGGUAUCAUAUAUAUAUAUGAUAUAAUUCCUUAUUGAUACUAAAAUAAUGUUUAAUAUUUAAGUUUAAUGUAUAUUUUUAAUUAAUGUUUCAAUAUAUUGGCAAACAAGUAUAUAUAUGAUAUAUCAUAACCAAUCUACAUUUCUAAAAAACAUAACGAUACUAGAAACUUAAGUAGAGAGUUAAAAACAUCUUAAAAAAUGGCAUAUAGAAGAUUUGUUUUCUUUGCUUUCAUCGCUCUCUCUGUUUUACUUGCAUGUAAGUCUCAUUAGAUCAAAAACCUCCUAAACGAUUUUUUACUUUGAUUUUACUCUUUAAGACCAUAAUCUUGAAAUGUGGUGUAUAUAUUUGUUAUUUUCAGGUGUUGAAUCCAUUUCUAUGGUACGUGAAGAUUCAAUUUUGCCUCCCAACAAAAGAGCUUCAUUGUGUUGCAAAGAUCAUCCCGAGUUUGGAGUAUGUACUAGUAACACCAAGUGCAACAAGAGGUGUCUUAGAGGUUGUAAGAAUAGAAAAGGUGGCUUUUGCAAGAGAAAAGUUUGUCAUUGCUAUUGCUAAACCAGUAAACAUUUUGUUGUAGUUUCACAUACAGAGCAUGUGUGUUCUAAACCAAACAAUAAUAAGAUUAGUAAAGGAACUCUUGACUCUUGAGUAUUAAUUGAUCAAUAUGGAGAUAUAAUAUGUUGGUUUUGCUCGACCGGGAUUUGGGGUUGGUUUGACCGCGAAACAAAUUGUGUCUAAAAAGGCCGAUGCACAAUGGGAUUGCCUGAGGCAAAUAUGUGCGAGCUUCUAUGGUUUGUGGCACUCCGUUAUGCAUACUGCAAACAUGAAAGACCGCACACCUCAAAUGAACUGUCAGAGACUCAGAAGUUUUCGUUUUGGCCACGAAGCGGCUAGUCUCGACCAAACACCCAUUUGAUCCACAUUUGCUAGAAUCAAGCUUGAUUUCGUUGAUUAUCAUUAUCCAAAGUUCUAUCCAUGUUUUCCCUCCAUUUCCCAUGAUUUUUGCCAAAUGUCCCUAAGAAGAGAAAAUAAUCAAAACAAGACUAAUGAUCCUAAAGGACUCUAAAACUUGAUGCGAAUGUAAGAAAAACGACACAAAAAUGAUUCUAAGAUACGCAAACAAAACAUGUACAUCAUCUCUCAACUAAGUAAGAGUUUUAACGAGAAGGAACAGGUUGCAAAUGCAGUCAAAAACCUAUGGGAAGUCGUGAAACCUUCAGAGACCCUCCAGUUUACCGAAAAAUCAUCGAAGAACUUCUAGGAAAUGUCUAGAGAGCUUGACAGUUUUUGAGGUAUUCCAGAGGCAACCAUAACUACUUCGACACCUCCCGAAAAAUCUUUCCCUUGUCCAAUGCUAUUUGAUUGGAAUUAAUGGUUAGAUCAAAUGAACAUUAAAAGGUGCCAUGUAUUAUCGGAACUAUGAUUUGUAAAAAGACUCACAACUAAUGGACACCAUGCAUACUACAAGAAGUUAUCCCACACUAUGAAUAACCAUAUAUUUCCGUCUUGUUUCUAUUUAUUUUUCAAUCGUUUAGUUAUGGUCAGAUUUGAGAUCUCAAUAGGAACAAGAUUUUUUUGGAAUUCGGAACCAAAGGCCUCAGAAGUUAGCAAACUAGGCUAAAUGUAAAUUACUAGCUAGUUAAUAAUUGAUCAAUGAACUUGUUAACUUUGAUCAUGACUUCAAUCUUACAAUCAAGUAAAUAAGUUUGACAAAGACUUAAAAAGUAAAACAGACCAAGACAUAAUUUCUAUUAAAUGAAGAAAAGACACAACACUACACAAAAUGGCAGAUAAGUAAAAAGCUUUUAUGUCAAGUGACCCCAUCUCAUUUGAAUUCUUCCUCAAUAGCUUGUCCUUUUUACUUAAUUCUUCACUUCUUUUGUUUCUUAUACAUCAACUUGACAUCUCCAAUUCUAUACAUACACACACACACACACUCAUAUAUAUAUAUGAAUCUAAACAUCAAUUAGUAAAGAGAGAUUAAAGCCUUUUAGAUUAGAAUAACACAAAGAAGCCACACAAGUUCAAGCACCAUACAUAGAUCAAGACACAUAAGAGGCUAAAACCAUUCCUAGUAGCAACUUUAGGUAGAGACUUCAAACAUAACAAGACCUGGUUCAUGGAGAUGGCGGCCAAAUAUGCGGUUCCAUAUCUAAAAUUGCGUUGUCCGCAUUAAAGUUAUCGUCCCAACCAUGGUCAAAUUCAUCUUCAUAGAACUCUCCCAUAACACCAUCUUCAAAAAAUUCCCAAGCCAAGUAAUCAGAUCCAUCUGAGAAAUAAUCUGAGCAGCAAUCCUCCCAAUCGUUUAUCAUAUCAUAGAAUCCGAUCACGCGUGGACCUAACACUUUCAUAUCUGGAAACUUCUCUUUGAAGAACUUGUUAUCGAGUUGCACGUCCCAACAGCCUCUAAGUUCCAAGAACUCAAGAAAAAUGCAGGAUGAUAAGAUUUUGAGUACUCCUUCUGUGCUGACUCGGUGGUAUGCAAUUUCUAAACGCUUCAGCUUCGGCAUUGUGUUGGCAAUUGCAUAAGCUUCAUCGUCGUGAGAGACAACACUUGCUACAUCCAGUGGAUGCAUGUUUCUGCAAAACUCUCUCAGGGAUUUACAAUGUUUUCCUAAGGCUUGUAUCGCCUCUGGACCUACUUUGCAGCAGUAGCUCAAGUCCAAGAAAGUGAGAGACGAAAGCUUUUCAGCUACGUUUACCACACCCGAAUUAGUCAGACCACUUCUUGGCACCUUCAAGGUUUUAAGUGAACCAGCACUUACAAAAAAAAAGAAGGAAAGAUGGAAAAGUAUUAGUCAGAAAUUGAUAGAUACAAAAGCAAUGAACUUAGAAAUCAUGUUACUUCAAUCUCAUCCCCUAAUACAAUCUAGACUACGCUUAUAACCAUAUAAAGCUUCUCAAAUCGAUAAAGCGGAUAUUCGAGAAAUUCAACUCCCUAAUGUGCAAUGACGGAGAGUUUCCAAUUAUGUUACUGCAUCAAUCUCAACUAAAUACACCACUGAAACUAGCUUUUUAAGAAUCAGCUCCAGAUUAUCAAACACAAACCUAGAUUACACCAAUAACCACUUAAAGCUUCUUCUCAAUUUGAUCAUAAUACGCCAAACAAAGCAGAAAUCCAGGAAAUAGCAACUCACUGUUGUGCAAUGAAGGAGAAGAUAGAGUCAUUUCGAAGGCCAGUAACGGAGAGUUUUCGCAACGAACCAGAGCUCCUAGGGAUCAACAUCUCAAGCAUCCGGUCGAGAUGAUCAGACUGAUGACAACGGUUACUCCACAGCUCAAUGUCAAUCUCUUGCCAACAAUAAGGUCCAGUAACAGCUCUGUUCCAUGCUUUGCAAACUCUAGGCACCACUGUUAGUACCUCUUGAAGAGCUAAAUGACUGAAGAUUAAACCAAGAGCGUCUGGUAUCAACUCAUCCCAAUGUCGAAACUCGCAAUCUUCUUCCAUCUACAAACCAAUACAAGAAAUGAUCAUUUAUACUAAGAUAAUCACACAAAUCUUCAAAAUCUAUGUACCUAAGAACCUCAUAACUAAGAAAAGGCUAAAACUUUAUUUCUUGAAGCAAUCACAAGAUUCAUACUUUUGUACCAAGAUCCAAGAGAGAUCAUAAACAAAUGAAGAAAACUCAAGAUCUAACAAACCCAUAUGAACAAAAACAUGUUUAAAGAACACUAAACAUGUUUAAAGUACAAUCACUAACUCCGAAGCUCCCACUGCAGAAAGAACAGAAAAAACAGAGAGAUCUGAAAUAAAAAGUUGAAAGAGCUCAAGAACCAGUGAAGUUACUAGAAUUAGAAAGAUAGAUACUAAAAGAAGUAAAAAGGAAACCACUUUCUCACACCCAAAAACUAUCAACAAGUUAUUGAUACUCAGAACUAAGAAAACAAACUUUAUUCACCAGAAAAAAAUCUCUAUAGGUCCAAAAACUUCUUCAAUGUUUGUUCACCACAAAAGCUUGGGCAGGAAAGAGAAAGAGAGAGAGAGAGAUCUACUUCACCUAACGAAAGAGAGAGCAUCAACAAUAUACAACCAAACAACAAGAACAAAGCAACAACAGUAAAAACGCAGCAGAGUAAAUUCUAUGACAACAAAAGGGUCCCUCCAACAAGAAAUCAAUUAUUUUUAAAAAAGAGAGAGAAAAAAAAAACAGUAGAAUUUGUACAUUUUAAUGGAGGAAACAGAAUAAAUCAAGAAACAGUUUGCUUUAUUUUUUACUUACUUUAAUUCCUCAAUAAGUAAGUGAAAAAGAGAAUCCCUUUUUACACGAUUCUGAUCAGAGAAUCUACAAAACUUUUAUGUAAAUUCUCCAACUAAAAGAAAAAAGUUUUGAUUUUUAUCUUCUCAAGUCUCUCGGGAAAGAGAUAUCGUAUUAUAUUAACUGUGAAAACUAAGAAAGUUUUGAUUUUUUUUGUUUAAUUUUGAUGGCAAAUAGGUGCCGUGGAAAUUGGGAAUUACUAUGACCAAGUGUGUGUGUGUGUGACAUUUUUGACAUUAUUGAUGAGAAUGGAGAGAGUUUACUUGUAGGUGAAAAUACCGACACGUGUCGGUGAGAAAGUGGAAGAUAGUGUACACGUGUCUGUAGAUGGUGUUGUGGGAUCUCUUACCGACGUUGACUUGUUUGACUUUGUACAAGGAUUCAGAGAUAUCUAGAUGAGAAAAAGUUUUUAUUAGGACCAAUGAGUAAAAGCGUGAUCAAUACGAGACUCAAAGCCCAUUUUUGAAGCACAAAUGUGAAAUGUGUAAUUUUCACGAUUCAGAAUCUGGUCCGUUGUGAAGUUAAGACUUUUCACGAAUCAAGAUACAGAAGACCAACCGGGCCUUGUGGCCUAAUGGUAAAGGGAUCACAGCUGUGACUUCCGCCACCAGGGUUCGAGGCACGGUCACUGGCAGGUUUACAUAGGGGAAUUGCCAGCCUCGUGGGAUUAGUCCUUGGGCCUAGGAAGCCUUUGGGAGACCCGCGGUUAUUCAAAAAAAAGAUACAGAAGACCGAUUUCCUUCGAUGUCGUUUCAUACUUCGGUUUAUAAGUUUAACACCUCAUUUCUUUAUUUUUAACAUUCUACAUCAUAUUCUUUCUCUUUCACUUCAUAAUUCAACACACAUGUUUUGUUUGAUCAAAUUCAACACACCUUACUUCACUACUUAUAUUUCAUAUACUUUUUUAAAAAAAAAUUUGUAACUAUAUAUUAAUAACAAUCAUCAAUUAAAGUCAAAUUAUUAAAAGCUACAUAACUUUCUAAGGCCCAUAACUACAAUAUAUUCUUAAAAUUAUUAAAGUACCAUCAUAACUGAAAUAUUAUUGAAAUCUAUCUCACAAAAAAGGAUGUUGAAGGAUUUAAACAAGAAUUUAUUAGAAAAUAAUUAAAUUAUAAAAGAAAAUUAUUUCCUUCGUCCUCCAUAUUAAGUAACCUUGAUUACUUGUUCUGGAGGGACAAGGACUUUGGAGCGACUAAGGAGAGUUUACGCAUUUUCUUUUUGAUUAUGUAGUAUAUUUGGAAUGCGAGAAAUAUGAAUAUCUUUGAAAAUAUCGAUGAAUCCCCUCAAGACAUCCUGAAGUUAGCUACCUAAGAAGAAGAAGUUUGGAGACGUGCCAACAAUAGUGAAGAGUCGUCUCAGGAAGCAACAUUUAUCUUAGCUGAGCCUCUUGUCCCACAAGAGUCCCUUGUGUGUUUCAUUGAUGGAUCAUGGCAUGCUACAGAUGCUCAAAGCGGACAUGAUUGGAUCGUCAGAAUAGGUGAUAGAAACUUACACGUUGAGAUAAAAAGUUCCCACAAAUAUCUUUCUCCUGUCCACAUUGAGCUGGAACCCCUUCUUUGGGCAAUGAAAAGUUUGCUGGCACUUUCUAUGGAUAGAGCCCUCUUUGCGACACAUUGUUCAGAUUUACUUGCUAUGACUGCUAGUAUUGAAGAUUGGUCUAUUUUUACAUCAAAGCUAACAUAUUUCAAGCAGAUAAUCGGGCAUUUCAUACCCGACAUACACUCAAGUGUUCAAUUCAUACCUAAUAUUUUCUUGUGUGCUAAUAUAUACCCAAUCUUUUUAAUAAUUUAAAUUUCAUAUCUAAAUUUACUAAAUCAUGCGAAAUUAUACACUUUGCUGACGUGGACGCCACAUAUUUGAUGAUGUUGAUGAUGUGGCUACCACGUCUUCGAUGACAUCAUUGCCACAUUAUCAUCACAUUAAAAAAAAUAUUUCUUCGCUUGACCUUUUUCUUCUUCAUUAUUAUCAUUUAACAAAACUGUAAAAAAUUUAUUAUUGUGAUAUAAAAAUUUGAAAUCUUAUUUUCGAUACUAAUAACCAAUAUUUAUAAAUUAAGUUUUCUCGUUUUUUUGUCUUCAACUUUAAAAUAUCUUUUGGUGACUAUAUAUGAUUAUUGUAGGGUUUAUGUUCUUCACUAAAUGCAAUUUGAAUAUUUUUAGAAGUUAAAUUACGAAUUUUGGAUUUACAAACUUGGUUUAAAUAAUAUAUUCGAUUGAAAUAUUGGUUAUAAGUAUCAAAAAAUGAUUUUAAAUGCUUACAAUAAAAAAAAAAAUUUCACAGUUCUAUCAUAUGAUAAUAAUGAAGAAGAAAAAGUUCAAGAAAAAAAAUUAUUUUCUAAGGUGAUGAUGACAUGGCAACGAUGUCAUCAAGGACAUGGCAGCUGCGUCAUCAACAUCAUCAACGAUGUGGCAUCCACGGCAGCAUAAUGUAUGAUUUCGCAUGAGUGUUUUCAUCUUCUGAUAAACAUUAACCCUCUCGCCGCGAGGUUCGUGACCAAACGCAAUCAACCGGGGAGGUAGGAAGCAGAAUCGGAGGCAUCGGUUCUAGAAAAAAAUCGAUAAACUCUAGUUAGACAACAAAAAACAUGUCGCUGAAAGCAAAAUCAAAAGAAAAAAUUGAUUUUAAUUACCAGAAAAAAACGAGAAGAACAAAAACCAGAUCUGAGAUAUAAACCCUUGCUCGAAAAACAGAACCAGAGAAAAAGAAUGCGAGAGGACAGUUUUGGGGAGUUGUUUCCUUUUUCUUUCAGCCUCAAAACGCCUUCUCUCCUCCUCGUAUAGGAUGAGGAAAAACACGACUGUUCGGUAACUGACCAAGAAAAAAAUUAAAAAAAAAUAAAUAAACACAACUCCCCAAAAAUAUCUCUCAAAAUCUUCUCCUACCGUUUGCAAUGAUACAGCCCUAUAAUCUAUAUGCGACUCCCUUGAUGCUAUAGGGGUACAUGCGUAAAAAAAAAUGAACAGAAGCGAGGGAACAGUGCAAAAUGAAGGGAGUGAAUUAUCGAUUCGUCUAUGCAUAUCUAUUGAUAUUUUCCAAUAAGUUAUUUUACAGUUAUUCUUAUUUAGAAUAAAAAUAUACUUAAAGUUAUUCUUAUUUAGAAUAAAAAUAGGAUGAUAUAUAAGAGAGAAAUUCUGCUUUAUUUUACAGUUACUCUAUUUAUAGUAAAAAAUAGAGCAAUAUAGUGGAUGUGGUCUUAUAAGAGGCUAAAACUAUCUACAUUAGUUACAUGUUUACAAUACCCAUUUUUUUUUCUUUUGACACUUCACAUCAUCUUCUUUCUUCCACAUCAUACUUCAACACCGAUAUACUUUUAUCUUUUACAGUAGUUUGAUUUUGAAAUUGAUAAUUGUUGGGAUUUGGGUAGUUAAAAAGGUAAUUAGAAGAAUUUUGGGAGCUAAAAAGAUUAUUAUUAGGAUCCAUUUCACUAAAAAGACAGUAAAACAAUAAACAAGAGUUUAUAAUAGUAAAAAUGUGGUUUUUUUGUCCAAAUUAAGUGAAACAAGUCUCUAUUUACAGAUAUGAAAAUGAUGAAUUUUGGUAUAAAAUAAAAUUUAAUAUUCUAUGACAUAAUUGAUCUCAAAUAAUUCGUUUGAAAAAAUAAUAUAUGAAAUCCCAGCAUCUAAUAGAAAUAGAACACAUGUAUUUAUCUAAACAUUAUGAUAGAAUAACAAGUUUAAGCAUUCAAUAUGUGCCAUAUACAGUGAGACCCACCUCAUAUGUGUUUCAAUGCAGUUGGAUCGAUUCAACAAUGUUGUCUCCACCCCAUCUUUAUUUUUUUUCAACAAGCCAUUGGAGUUAUUCAACAGUUGAUAAAUUUAUUCAACAGCUUAAAAACGACCAUUGUAAGUAGUCUAAGUCGGAAAAUAUUAAUUAGCCCUUAAACAAAAAUAUAUAUAUAUAUAUAUAUAUAUAUAUAUAUAUAUAUAUAUAUAUAUAUAUACAUUAAUUAGCCAAACCAAAAUGAUGUUGUUUAGCUUCUCUUAUAAUGUUGAGCGACAUCGUUUAGUACCUACAUAACAGACAUAUAGUGGGUACAACCACAAAUGAGGUAUUUAAGAGCAACCUUAAUGGUUGGAUCCAAAAAUUGGGAUCCAAACAAGAUUCGUAAUAUUUAUAAUAGAAAAUAAAAAAUUUAGACACUUUGAAUGUUUUUUAUUUUUGGACAGUCCAAUGGUUGAUCCAAAAAGUGAAGAUCCAAAAAAACAAAGCUGUUAAAAAAAACUGAGAGAGAAAACAAAGGUGCAACAUUUUUUCCCCUUGUUUAAAAAAACAACCAACCCACGUUUGCCACGUAUGCGUGUCCAAAAAUGUUCUAAAAAUCCAAAGUUAGAAUGGAGUCUAUUGUUUUUAUUCAUUUUUGAUUUAUUUUUUAGACACUUUGUGUCUUAGACCUCCACUUGGAUCCAUCGUUAAUGAUGGUCUAGGAUCAAGAGUAUAAACAAACUAUAUGAAAGAAGCUAUAUAUAAAAAGGAGGAAAGGAUUUUAUAAAAAAGAAAAUCUUAUUUUUGUUAAAAUACUCCCAGGAUUACAAGAUUCUUAGACUCUCUCAAACUUUUUCUCAUUCACUUAACUUAGUCUCUAAUGACAAGAUUCUUAGACUCUCACAUAUGUUAAAAGUCAUUUUUCAUUAUUCAGAAAUGAAAUUUAAAAAGUAUAAUAGUAUGAAUAUGAAAUUUCGAAAAUUAUACGUGUAUUCAAACUUGUGUCCAUCAAAACCUAACAUCAAAAAAUGUUGACUGGGCUUACACACAUUCGCUCACUGGGUUACGCACAUUCGCUCACUGGGCUUACACACAUUCGCUCACUUACGCACAUUCGCUCACUGGGCUUACACACAUUCGCUCACUGGGCUUACGCACAUAAAAAAAUGUUGACAGGGCUUACACACAUUCGCUCACUGGGCUUACACACAUUCGCUCACUUAUGAAAUAAGUUUGUUAGAGAAAGCUAGGUUUCCCUAAAAAAGGGUUUUCUCGCUCAGUGUCAUCGUUCCGGUGAUGACCUUCAGGUCAAGAUACUAAAGUGGAAUGGAUUGCAUUUCAAUCUUGCCUAUAAUGUUGAUUAUUUUCCCCAGCGUAUGUGAUCGAAGAGCCUUUCAGCAGCUUAAUAAAGGCUGGAAUUUACAACCGGACUACUACGUGUCGGUUCCGAAGGCAUAAUUCUUUGCGGUAACUGCAUGAACUUGCCAAGAAAGUCGGAAAGAGAUUCACUACUACACAUAAGGAGAUAAUUUAGGGAUUUUCUAUUUUUCUGAUCUUGAGAGACGCAAGCAGGAAUGUUUUUAGCUCAAUUGUUUCAGUUGUAACCGAGGGGUAAGAGAAAUUCUGUUCUUAAGGAUUUCUAAACAAAACAUUCGUUUUCUCUUUAUAGGCAGAAGGGAUUUAUCAAAAAGACAAUGUGAAGUUUAAAACACAGAGAAUACAAGAAGAAGAUGGCAUGCGUAUCAGAUACAUGCAAAAGCAAAGGCGACUCCACUUUAUGUUAAUCCACCUCAAGGAAGAGAAAAUCGCUGUCCCUGCUUCUAUUUAUGGCACUGAAGUAAAUCACUCUUCCCUGCCAACACCAUUUUUUCGCAAUUAGAUUCCACAGCGAAGUUUUAAAACAUCUGCAUUUCAACGGCUAAAGAAAUACUAACGAUUCAGCUGUGUAGAACUCAACAUGAGAUGUUAGCUAUAGGAGCCAAUGAGAAGCUGUCAGUUUUGUUCAUGUCUAAUGAAAAAUGGGGAGCAAAUUUGGGUAGAGAAUGGUGAUGCAAACAAUAUUGUGCAGCGGUACCAAAUACGCUCACAUUAGUUUUCAGCAAAUUAUUCUCUAUAAGUAUCCAAUUAAUGAUCACAACACAUGUGAAACCGCUAAUGAGAAAAUCCAUAAGCAGAUAAUGUAACUUCAAAUCUGCUAACUAAAAAAUUUCUCUACCUUACAGAAUCAGCAAAAUUCAUACAAGCUAUGACUUCCCACUAGACCCAGCGAGUCUCUCAGAAGACCAGGGUUCCACAAAAGUAUCAUCUAUUCUGAAUUUGGUAAUGCAAUCUACGAAUUCUCAAAAUCAUUACAGGUUUCAUUCUAGAUAUCAAUAUCAGGAUAGAUAAUCCAAUCUAUAAACCAUUACACAACCAUAGGUUUCUAUUAAAAAGCAAUAGUGAUCAGCUAAAAAUGAGACAAAAGGAAAGAUGUAGAAUCGUACCAUUUGAUGAGCCAGCCAAAGAGGAAAUGCUGCAUAAUCGGAACUUUCUCGAGCACUUCGACUCUAUACAUCUUAAGCAAACCGCUAUUCACUUUCUUCCAGUUCGGUACACCACUUAUAUCAUCCAACAACGGCGAAUGCUCAGCAAACAAACCUUUCUUCACCUUCUUCACAAAGGCAAUACAAGACAAGUACAUGUAUUCACUAGAGAAAUUCUCCAAAAUGUCAUCGUUAUGAAUCGAUUUCGGUUUCAUAUACUUAUGAUCAAUCAACUGAGAACUCCCAAAUAUAAACGGCAAGAAAUGGUAAUCAUCAAGUCCCCAAACUCCAUGAGAUCCAGCUGGUUCUAAGCAAUAAACCAUUUGCAGUUUCCUCAUCAAUUCCAAAUACUUAACAAAAACCCUAGCAACCAAACCAUGAUAAUCCUCUUCUUUCACAAUCCCCAUCCUAGCUAAACAAUACAACCAUGCCGCGAAAUUCGUCUCGUGUCCGGUUCCGUAAUCAAUCCUACUAGAGUUCCCAAAGCUAUCGAAGAAGUAAGGAACAAUCUCAAUUACAGAUUCUUUAAAUUCCUCAGGAAGAAACUCAAGAAUAAGCGAUUCACCUCUCUCGCCGAGCCGUUCAUGCCAUGACCUAAACGAAACGUUACCAUAUCGAGCCGAUUGUUGAGCAGGAGGAAUCUCAUCGAUCCAUUGUAACAAGGUUUCAAGGAUUGAAACUAUGGCGGCGACGGUUGGUGAGAUAUCACAAGGAUCUGAGAUCUUAUAACCACGGAUCGAUUCUGAGAGAGAUACUAUGAAUCCUAAGAAGUUCUUACAAGAUGCAGAUUCGUGAAAUCGGCGGAUAUCGUCGGGAGAGUGGAUUCUUUUGACGGGAGAUUGGAAUUGAUACGGCGGAGAUACGACGGGGACUUGUUCGGCGUGAGGAACGGGAGAGAGGAUUAUCGCUUGAGAGUUGUGUGGGAGAUUGAUUGCUGGAGCUCGGAUCGGGCGAUAGUUUGGUGGUGGUGACAUCUCCGGGAAUGAAGCGAGUGGUGGUGGUUCGGAAAUCGUUGGUCCGCCGCAGUUUGUACAGCAACCGGAGGGAGGAAAGGCAGAGGAAACGGUGGCCGGAGCUUCGGAGGUUGAUUUCUCCGGCGUGUUUUGUUGUUCCUUUGAAGAUUCCAUUUUCGAAGUGUUUACAGAGACGUAACGAUACUCGAGUGAGCAAAGGAAAGGGUUAAUAAAAGUUCCAAAGGAAUAGUUAUGGAUCACCAUAAAAAGCCCAAAGAUGGUUUUGUAACCCAAUAAUAAGCCCAGAGUUGGUAAGUAGCAAAUUGGUCUGCCAAUGAUAUCAUCAAAUGCAAUGUGAGUUCUUCAUGGACUAAUUCAAGUUUUAUAUGUGGUGUUGCUGGGUGGAUCGCAAGAGAUCAUAUUGGUGCAGCAGUCUUUACCUACCUUUAACAAGAUUACGACAACAUUGUGUUGUAUUUUGUGGAUUCUUAGAAGCUGACAUGAUCUUCGAAUAAGAAAAUAGAGGUGUGGUUAGAUUGUGCUCGUGCUAUUGAAGCUUUGGAUAAUCCUUCCCCGUUAUCGGUUAUCGGACAUACCUUGGCUAUAUACACAGCCUACUUCCAAGUUCCUAGUGGUGUAAGUUCAAGGUAAUGAUGCAUCAAACUAACUCUAUAGCCGGUUUUGUGUUUAUGAGUUAAUAGUUGAUGAGAGAAUUGAAGAACAAACGAAGAAGAAAGUGAAGAUUCUGUUAUUUCUCAUAAAACGUUUGUUACAACAAUGAUUUCUAUUUAUAGUCUAGUGCUCCGGUUAUCACAUUCUGAUUCCCGGUUUACACAAACCAUAUCUCUAUACCAAUAGCCUCCCUCAAGAUGAGACGUAUAUGGAAUGAAGACUCAUCUUGCCAAUAAGAGAGUUGAAUAAGGAAGGGAACAAAGGCUUGGUCAAAACAUCUGCAAGCUGAGAAAUAGUGGUAACAUGUAGAGUCUUUAGCAAACCUUGUUCGAUGCGAUCUCUUGUAAUAUGGCAAUCAUUCUCAAUGUGCUUUGUUCUCUCGUGGAAGACCGAGUUAUUGGCGAUGUGAAUUCCAGCAGUAGAGUCACAGAACAUAGGGACGGGUUUGGUUUGCGGGAUUUGAAACUCUGCAACCAACUUCACCAACCAAGCAAUUUCCUUACUUGCCAUAGCCAUUGCCCUGUACUCAGAUUCUGCAGAUGAAGCAGAGGCCAUAUCUUGCUUCUUUGAUUUCCAAGACACAAGAGAAUCACCUAGGAACAUACAAUAACCUGAGGUUGAUCUCCUAGAGUCGAUACAUGAACCCCAAUCAGCAUCAGUGUAAGCUGUGAGACAAAAAUCAGACUUGGAAGAGUAAAAUAAACCCAAACCAGUUGUUCCUUUCAAGUAAUGAACCACCUUAUGAGCUGCUUUAAGAUGAGAAUUCUUUGGAGAAGAAGAGAACUGGCAUAGCUUGUUGACAGCGUAUGUUAUAUCAGGUCUAGUAAUUGUGAGAUACAUCAAUUACCAACCAAUCUCCUAUAAGUCUCUGGAUUCUCUAGCUCCGGUUCAUCACUAUGUUGUGUCAGCUUUACACUAGGUUCCAUUAGGAUCGAAGAAGGCCUGCAGCCUAACAAACCAGUUUCUUCUAAUAACUCCAAAGUAUACUUCCUUUGGCAUACUGAGAUUCCUUCCUUAGAUCUAGCAAUCUCUAAGCCCAAAAAAUACUUCAAAGGACCUAAAUCCCUGAGUUUAAAGGACUGUGCUAAAUCUUUCUUUAACUGAGUAAUAGCAUCUUCAUCAUUCCCAGCAAUCACUAUAUCGUCUACAUACACUAAAAGUGUUGUGAAAACGUUACCAUUUAUGCGGGUGAAGAGUGUAUGAUCAGCUUGAGACUUCUUGAACCCAAAAUUCAUCAAUGUUGUGCUAAACUUCAAGUACCACUGUCGGGAUGCUUGUUUUAAUCCAUACAAGGAUUUUUCCAGCUUUAGAACAGCAUUGUCAGGUAGAGAGCCUCCCUGUUUUGGUGAAUAACCUGGGGGUAAACUCAUGUAGAUCUCCUCGUCUAAAUCCCUAUUAAAGAAUGCAUUUGAAAUGUCUAACUGGUGUAAACUCCAAUUCUUUGUAGCUGACACUGAAAGAAGAACUUUCACUGUUGUCAUCUUUGCUACAGGGGAAAAUGUAUCACCAUAAUCCAAACCUUCCUUUUGUGUAUACCCUUUAGCUACUAAACGAGCUUUAAAUCUCUCCAGACUACCAUCUGCGUUAAGCUUGACUUUAAAAACCCAUUUGCAACCAAUAGGCUUCUUGCCAUCAGGUAGACUGCAGACUGUCUAAGUAUUUGUCUCCUCCAAUGCAUCUAUUUCAAUCUCCAUUGCAUCAAGCCAUUCUUUUAUUUUCUUGGCUUGAGCAUAGGUGUUGGUGUCGGAUCCCGCACCAGAGGUCCAGGACCAACCAAAGAUUGCCACGUAGUCAGGGUAGCGGUCCGUAAAGGAUAAAGCCCAUCAGACCCACGAGUCAAAAGAACAAUCGAAGUGGUAACCACCAUAAGGAGAAUUUGAAGUGACUGCACCUCGACACGAGUCCGGAGACGAGGUCAUGGUUAAAUCGGUCCAAGGACAUUUGGGCCGAAAGGCGAGGCCCAUAGAGAUCGGAGUCAACUCAAAUUCAAACGUUGAGCAUUAAAGUCAAGGAAUCAAAACGGACACAUUUAAGAGGGAAUAAUUGUACUUAAUUAUUCAUUUUAAUGUCGUUUCUCUAUGUAUAAAUAUAAAGGUCAAUGGCCAUGUAAAAGGGGAUCUUCUUCUGGAGAAAAGAAAUAAUAUAGCAAUUUUCGUAGCAAUUUAUAAGUUUUUACAUAUUCAUUUUUGUCCCUCAAGAGUAAUCUUUCCUACUUAAUAGAAAUACUUGAGUGUGUGAAUCCGACUUCCACAUUUUGGCGCCGUCUGUGGGGACAGAGGAUUCUUGAGUGGUCAGAUUUUUUCUUUACUACAUUUCCGAGAUAAGCAACAAUGUCCGGAGGAGACGCCGUUGAUGCAUCAUUGGCCGAAACCCUCAAAGCUAUGCAGCAAACCAUGUCGGACAUAUCACAAAAGUUCUCGGAUGUGGAAAAGGCCGUUGAUACGUUGCAAACAUCCCAGGUAUCUCUUAGUCAAAACGUCAGUACUAUACAAACUCGUGUUUGCUCUUUAAGUGCAGGAAACCUUGUGGGAAUCCGAAGAGGGAUAUUCAACUCGCCAAGUUCCGCUGCACGAAAUGAAACCAGCGAACAAACAACUCCUGGUGCUACUAAUAAUGUAGCUCAGACGUUGGAAGAAGAGACACAGCUCGGAGAUGAAGAACAACUUGCAGCUCAAUACGAGCAGGAGAACCUCGACCAGUUCGAGACCAUGAGGAAGGUUAGCCAGGAAUUAAAAGAAAUGAAAUCAAAAUUUCAUCAAGCUACAAGUUCGGAGCCAGACAUCAAUCGAGUCAUUGAAGAAGCUAGGCGAACACCUUUCAUCUCGCGAAUUGCAAGUUUGAGGAUCAAAGAUUCCCGGAAACUCAAGUUGGACCCUUACAGCGGAUUGGAGGACCUUAAAAGCUAUCUCGCAGCUUUUCUGAUCGCUGCUGGAAGAGUCGAAUUGGAUGAAGCUGAUGAGGACGCAAGUUACUGCAAGCUCUUUUCGGAAAAUUUAUGUGGCCAAGCUCUAAUGUGGUUCACCCAAUUAGAGCCGGGUUCGAUCAGCAAUUUCGACGAACUAUCAGCCGUAUUCUUAAAGCAAUAUUCCAUCCUUAUGGAUAAAAGCGUUUCGGAUGCCGAUCUUUGGAACUUAUCGCAAGGAUCAAAUGAGUCACUUCGAGUUUUCAUCACCAAGUUCAAAGGAGUGCUGUCAAAGCUCCCAAGAAUCUCACAACAAUCAGCUUUAACUGCCCUACGAAAAGGAUUGCGACAUGAUUCAAGGUUUAAAGAAGACUUAAUACUUCAUAAGCCAGACACAAUUCAGGAUGCACUCUUCCGUGCAAACAACUGGAUGGAGGUAGAGGACGAAAAAGAAAGUUUUGCCAAAAGAAAUAAGCAAGAGAAGCCGGCAAUCACCGUCCCUACCAAAAAAUUCGAACCCAGGGAGAACAAAGGACCAAAGAAAUUUGGGUCGCAACCCUUCAACAGUACCGUCGGAAAGCAAUUCCAAGGGAAAGGAAGAUCAAACACUUGGGUCCGUGAUGAAAGUCUAUAUUGCGACAUUCAUAAAGUAACCGGACAUUUAACCAAGGAUUGUAGCGUUCUUAAAAGGCACAUCGCAGAGCUUUGGGCCAGUGGAGAUCUUUCCAAAUUCGAUAUAAAAGAUUUUGUGAAGGAAUACCACGAAGCAAAGGAAAGUUCCAAAGAUCAAAAUUCCAAAAGACCAAGAUUAACCAAUGAGGAAGAACCAAGGAAUUCUAAGGGUAAGAUCAAUGUUAUUCUAGGAGGUUCCAAAUUUUGCGGAGAUUCGAUAAGUUCCAUCAAGAAAUAUAGACGAAAUAUCCUACUCAAAGCAAGUUUAAGCGAAGAAGUCGAUUUUCAAGGUGCAUCAAUAUCAUUUAAUGAAGAAGAAACGCGGUACCUCGAAAGACCUCAUGAUGAUGCUCUAGUCAUUACCCUUGACGUUGCCAACUUCGAAGUAUCAAGGAUCCUUAUAGAUACAGGCAGUUCGGUCGAUUUGAUCUUUUUAAGUACUUUAGAAAGAAUGGGAAUUAGUCGGGCGGACAUAGUGGGGCCUCCGUCUCCAUUAGUUGCAUUCACAAGUGAGUCAGCCAUGUCUCUCGGGACAAUCAAGCUACCGGUCCUCGCUAAAAAGGUAUCGAAGAUCGUGGAAUUCGUUGUCUUCGAUAAGCCCGCAGCUUACAACAUCAUCCUCGGUACUCCCUGGAUUUAUCAAAUGAAAGCGGUCCCCUCUACAUAUCAUCAAUGUAUUAAAUUUUCAACAUCAAGAGGAGUGGAAAUAAUUCGGGGUGAUCAAGAAGCUUCACGGACGUGUUAUCUAGCUAGCCACCGUAUGAAGAUUCAAUAGCAAUUAACGAAGCCCGCAAAAGAGGGACUAAGAACAAAAUUUCCUAACGGGUAGAAGAAAGAUGAUGUAGUAAUCGAAGUGGUGUUGGAAGAAGACAAGCCGGACCGGAAAAUUCGAAUUGGGGCAACUUUGACUGGCCAAAUAAGAGAAGCUUUGAUCGAACUCUUAAGGAAAAACAAAACAUCGUUUGCAUGGUCAGCAGUGGACAUGCCUGGCAUAAAUCCAAGUAUAAUUUGUCAUGUACUAAACGUGGAUCCAAGCUUCAAACCGGUGAAACAAAAAAGAAGAAAGCUUGGAGUGGAGCGAGCAAAAAUAGUAAACGACGAAGUGGAUAAACUUUUGAAGAUAGGGUCCAUAAGAAAAGUACAAUAUCCGGAAUGGGUAGCAAAUACUGUCGUUUUCAAGAAGAAGAAUGGGAAAGAUAGGGUCUGCAUCGACUUCACAGACCUCAAUAAAGCAUGUCCCAAAGAUAGUUUCCCGCUCCCACAUAUAGAUCGACUUGUAGAGUCCACCGCUGGGAACGAGCUGUUAACAUUCAUGGAUGCCUUCUCGGGUUAUAAUCAAAUAAUGAUGAACCCCGAAGACCAAGAAAAAACGUCAUUUAUCACUGAUAGAGGUAUCUAUUGUUAUAAGGUAAUGCCUUUUGGUUUGAAAAAUGCAGGAGCAACUUAUCAACGUUUGGUUAACAAGAUGUUCCAUAAUCAUCUCGGGAAAACAAUGGAAGUCUACAUAGAUGAUAUGUUGGUUAAAUCGUUAAAGAAAGAGGAUCACGUUAAGCAUUUAGAGGAAUGUUUUGAUAUUCUCAAUAAAUAUCAAAUGAAGCUGAACCCGGCGAAGUGCACAUUUGGAGUCCCAUCCGGAGAAUUUCUUGGUUAUAUCGUGACAGAAAGAGGGAUUGAAGCCAAUCCAAAUCAAAUUAACGCCUUUCUAAACAUGCCCUCUCCAAGAAACUUCAAAGAAGUACAACGGUUUACUAGGCGGAUUGCGGCUCUGAAUCGUUUUAUCUCGAGAUCAACAGAUAAGUCGUUGCCUUUCUACCAAAUUCUGAAAGGGAACAAAGGAUUCCUUUGGGAUGAGAAGUGUGAAGAAGCUUUUGGGCAGCUUAAGGCAUACUUAACCACUCCACCUAUAUUGUCCAAACCGGAAGUGGAUGAAAAACUUUAUUUGUACGUGUCGGUUUCAAACCACGCGGUUAGUGGAGUCUUGGUUUGGGAAGACCGUGGGGAGCAGAAACCAAUUUACUACGUGAGCAAGUCAAUGACGGAUCCGGAAACCAGAUACACAAUGAUGGAAAAACUUGCACUCGCGGUGGUAACUUCGGCUCGGAAGCUGCGCCCAUAUUUUCAAUCCCAUCCGGUUGAAGUAUUAACUAACCAACCACUCCGAACAGUACUUCAUAGUCCAAGUCAGUCCGGACGCUUGGCGAAAUGGGCGGUGGAGUUAAGCGAGUAUGAUAUAGAAUUCAAAAGCCGGAUCAGUAUGAAAGCUCAGGUUCUAGCAGAUUUCAUAACCGAGCUACCAAUACCUGGAAUGAUAGAGCAUUCGGAGAACCAAACUUGGAAAUUACACGUAGAUGGGUCUUCAACAAAGCAAGGAUCCGGAGUUGGAAUCAAGUUGGAAUCUCCAACAUCAGAAAUUCUAGAACAAUCAUUCCGGUUGUUAUUCAAUGCCUCCAACAAUGAGGCAGAGUACGAAGCCCUGAUUGCCGGACUUCGAUUAGCACAAGGAGUUGGAGCUAAGGAAAUAUUGGCUUAUUGCGAUUCACAAUUAGUAUUUAACCAGUUUAAUGGAGACUAUGAAGCCAAAGACUCAAGAAUGGAAGCGUACUUCGAAGUGGUGAAAGAUCUAUCUAAAAAUUUCUCGAAAUUCGAAUUAAUCCGCAUACCUCGGGGAGAGAAUACAACUGCGGAUGCACUUGCCGCAUUGGCGUCAACAUCAGAUCCUGAGUUAAAAAGAGUUAUUCCAGUGGAAUGCAUUUCGGAGCAAAGCAUUCAAGACAACAAAGAAACCCUCGUCGUUACAAGGUCUCGAGCAGCGGCACGCGACCGUGGCGAACCAGAGAUCGAACCGCCACCCAACAAACAGAGAAAGUCAAGGGGAUCAAAUACAUCUAACAAGGAACCCGUUGUCUUAGCUGAAGAUGUGAUUCCAGAAGCAAUAUUAGAAACCGAACCGUUAAUCGAGGAGGAUGUUCUUGAACCAAACGAACAUCCCGAGCCAGAGCCACGAGUAUUUCACAAGGUCGACCAAAUUCCGGCUAAAGACUUGGGGGCUGACUGGAGGGAGCCAAUAAAGCACUACAUUAUGACAGGCAAGCUCCCAAAGAAUAAAUGGCAGGCCAGAAAAAUGAGAAUCGUUAGCGCGAAAUUUUGUCUGUCAAAAGACACAUUGUAUAGACGAGGUGUCAGUGACCCUUACCUAUUAUGCAUUUUUGGGUCCGAAGUCGAAAUCGUUAUGAGCGAAGUGCACGAAGGAUUAUGUGGGAGUCAUUCAUCAGGAAGGGCUAUGGCUUUUAAAGUUAAAAGAAUGGGAUAUUAUUGGCCCACUAUGAUCACAGAUUGUGUUAAGUUCGCCCAAAGAUGCAAGCGCUGCCAACUCCAUGCACCAUUGAUCCAUCAACCGUCGGAAUUAUUCUCCUCCAUUUCCGCCCCAUACCCGUUUAUGAGGUGGUCAAUGGACAUCAUUGGACCAUUGCACAAGUCAACUCGAGGUGUACAAUACCUUUUAGUCCUUACGGACUACUUUUCGAAAUGGAUUGAAGCUGAGGCGUAUGUUGGUAUCAAGGAUUCGGCGGUGAAGACCUUUAUUUGGAAAAACAUUAUAUGUCGACAUGGAGUUCCGUACGAAAUAGUCACUGAUAAUGGACCACAAUUCAUUUCACACGAGUUUGAUGCCUUUUGUGCGGACUGGGGAAUCAAAGUUAGUUAUUCUACUCCACGAUAUCCGCAAGGAAACGGUCAAGCUGAAGCCGCGAACAAGACGAUAUUGAGCAAUCUCAAGAAACGCUUAAAUCAUCUAAAGGGAGGAUGGUAUGAAGAACUCCAACCCGUCCUAUGGGCCUAUCGCACAACCCCUAGGCGACCUACAGGAGAAACUCCAUUCUCUUUGGUUUAUGGCAUGGAGGCGGUAGUACCAGUUGAACUCAAUGUUCCCGGACUUCGCCGAACAGAAGCACCGUUAAACGAGGAAGAAAAUUCAGCAAUGCUUAAUGAUUCACUAGAUACCAUAAAUGAAAGGCGUGAUCAAGCUUUGAUUCGGAUCCAGAAUUACCAGCAGGCAGCAGCCCGGUAUUAUAAUUCUAAGGUUAAAAGUAGGCCUUUCUUCGUGGGAAAUUAUGUAUUAAGGCGCGUCUUUGACAACAAAAAAGAAGAAGGUGCCGGUAAACUCGGUAUUAAUUGGGAAGGACCUUACAUUAUUACCGAAGUGGUUCGGAACGGUGUUUAUAGGUUGAAAGACUUAGAAGACAAUCCAGUCAAGCGACCUUGGAAUGUGAUUAACCUAAAGAAGUUUUAUGUUUAAAGCUACAUGCAUUGUUUAUGUACAUGAACUACGGUGUGGCUUGAUCCCGAAAUGGGUACGUAGGCAGCUCAGAAACGAGUUCAGCUAUUAAUAAAAAUUUGUUUUAUUUCUUUAUUAAAGGAAAAAGGUUCGACUGUGCGAACAAGUGAAGCAAAUAAAGGUUCGGCUAUGCGAACAUACAAGAGGUUGGAAAUAGAGCGUUUAUUCAAAAGAUGGAAUGUCCCUCAUCGUACACUUCGGACUAUGAAAAUCUUGUUGACGAGCAGAACACUUCAACUCCUUGACCAGCAAGAUCGAGGAUUGGCAUCAUGCAGUCCGGAACUCGAGGAAAGUCAGAGAUUCCAAGCUCAAUCCACUCUCCGGGGUGAGAUUCAAGGAUGUGAAGAUCUCUUGACACCGUAGUAAGCCUGCGUUGCAUCCGGUUAAUCCUCUUCCGGAGUCUCCUCUUUUCCAAUGAAAGCUUCCGAUGCUGAAGCGUGAGUGCCUCUAUGAAUGCCAUCGCUGUUCCUUGGUCAAUGGGGAGAUCCCUGAUCAGAGCACAUGGAGCUUGGAUCUGAGAUCUGAAGAAGCCGCGAGGUGGAGGAGUUUGCCUGUUUGGCUCAUUUGGAACGUCUUCGUUUAUCAUUCCGAUUCUGGAGAAGUCGGGCAUAGAUUCUGAACAGCGAAGAUUGAACUCCAUACCUACUAAAAUGAAAAGAAUGGUGAGGAGUAAAGGGAAAUUGAGACUAUAAUUUAUAGGAACGUCAUAUCCCUAGCAAGCUGCGGAUUCUAUCCUAGGAAUGGAGUGAUUCGCGGAGAGAUUUAUGCCCUCGAACAGAUCCUGCAUUAAAAGACGCAUCUCCGAGAAUAUUUGAAAAGUAAGGAAAAUUGCAAAUGUUUCCAUAAAUAAAAAGGGGCCGAAGCCCAUUACGAGUUCAAAAUAAGUGAAGAAGUUAGAGAACAUUUAUGGAAGAGGCUCAGGAACAGGCUCCUUCAUCGCCGGUUUAAUCUUCGAAGUGGACGCCUUGUUCUUGGCAUCCACUUCGGGAUGAUCCCGAACGCGUUUCCGACAGGUGCUGGCCUCCUCCUCAUCUUCUUCCUCGCUAUCAGAUGGAACGGUAUGGACCGGAGCAUUCACAGGACCCGGAACUCCUCUAGCACGGAGAUACAUCCGAAGCAUCUUCGGGAUCUCAGCAACAGAAUCGAAGUUCCGCCAUUCCCAUUGAAAGGGGUCACUUUCCAAAGCCCGUAUUUUCCUCUCCACCCGAGCAAUGCGAGCUUCGAGUGUUUGCCUUUUGAGGCCUAGCCGCUGUCUCUCUUCGCACAAGCGACGGUGUUUGUCGGCGACCUAGCAUAAAGACGAAUGAAUAAGAAGAAACAGAAAAUUUUUAAUCAAAGACGACAGAUAUUAACCUUGUCAAUAAAGUCGCAAGCCUCUUUUUUCUCCUUUGAAGGAAAGUGAAAGACGGCGUGAGGGAAGAGAACGCCGGCCGGUUCAAAGCCGUCGCCGGACAAGAAGAGUGGGCUGCCGGGAUCAACGGGGGCUACUUUUUCGUUUUCCAUUCUCGUAAUAUUCCACAAGUAAGAUUCUAAAAGCGUAUUUAAAUAAAGCUUAGAGAUAGGUAAGCCUUUAUUUAUAAUGAUUUAGGGUUUGUCUUGGAACCAUAAAUCCAAUAAUGGUAGUGUGCCCGAGUGGUUUAAACCAUUUUUGGAAAAUCGAGAAAAGGCAGUUUUUGCAUUAAAGACGAGCCAUUUUCCCUACUUUUGAGAAAUAAGAAGGGAAAAAGCAACCGUCGCAUUAACUACAAAAGUUUCUAAGGCCCAAGCCCAAUAAAUUUACCGAGUUUACUAUACCCGAAGUGGGGAACUCGCUUUAAGCCGAGCUCAGUUCUCGCAUUCUUAAGAGAAAGGUCUGAUCAGCCUAAAAAAAUCUCGAAAGCAUAACCACAAGGCCACAAAGGGUUAAAAGCGGACUUUGCAAACCCUCACAUAAUUUUAACUGAACCCCCUUGGGGUCAAAACCUAGAAAGGUUUAAAAGCCUCCUCAGGCAAAUAUCUUGUUCAAAAGAAAUAAUAAAGCCUCCUUAGGCAAAGACAAGUUCGAAAUUAAGUUUUAAAAUAAAGGGACAAUUCCCAAUUUAAAGUGGACGCAGCCACUACGGAGUGAUAUCCACCUCGGACUCCGGCUCAGCAACCGAAGUUUCAUUCACCUGCUUGACUGGUGCUUGGUCGGAUGGAGCUCUUGGUCCGCCCUCUACAUUACAACCAUCCUCCGGAGUAACCGCCGGUGCCGCAGGUACUUCGGGUGGGACGACAUCCUCUGCCUCACUUGAACCUGGGAAGGACAGUUCCAGUCAACUUUUUUUAAAAAAAAACACAUAAGGUGAGAAAAAGGUAGUAAGUGUCAGGAGCCAAGCAUUACCUGCCCAGUCUAGACCCGAUUCACUUAUAUGAGGCAAUUCAGUGAAGAAUUCCUCGAAGUCCUGCGGGUUGAAGGUCGAAGUAGGAAGAGCUGCCAAGCGACUCCGCUUUUCAGAAAGAUUAGCCGACAGUUCGGUCCUCUCUUGCUCCUCGGAGAAAUCUGUAUCAUGGAUUUGAUCCAACAAGAUCAGGUUGCUCUCGUGCUCCUUAAUGUUUGAUUCCAAAUCUGACCUAGCUUUCUCGGUCUGCAUGAAUCGGAUGGCCCCUUGGAUCAACUCCAUCCCGGGUUCCUUAACCUCCUUUCUGGCUUUUGAUGCCGACCUCGCUAACUCGGAGUUACGCAAUUUGGCAAUCGCCUUGUACUUCGCGUUAAGCUCAAUAAGCUGGUUGUUCAGGGUGUCGGCGGUUGAUUCGGAUUCAUGAAGUCUACCCUGAACACCAGAAAGCUCACCUUGGAGUUUGAAAUUUUGGUCGUACUGGUCCUGUAGCUCCCCCUUUAUCUUCGCAAGCUCGGACGAUAGACCAUCAACCUUGUCCUCCAAAUCAUGCUUGGAGUCGGUAGAAGAGCGGAGGUCAACCUCGAGAUUAGAAAACUUGUCCUUCCACGUGUCGAUCUCUUUCUCCCGACCAAUGACCAACCCUUCGUAAUGUUCAAUUAUGUCAUUGAGCUCGCCGUUCGCCUGAUAUUACACAUAAACCCGGAAUGACGGAUCAGUUCGAAAAAUGACGGUAAAGUCAGAAAUUGAUGCGGAACUAACCCGAGAUGAAUGAUGAGCAUGAAAUAGGUAUCGUUCACGAAUUGCAGAGCGCCACUUUCUCCAUGGCUACGAAAGCGAAAGAGGAAAGGUCUUAGAAAUUCAAAAUAAGUACAAAGACGAAAAGAAUACAUGUGUAUCGUCAUACCUGAGAGCGAUUUGAUCUGAGGAACAAGAGCAGGCUUUGUCUUCGGAGAAUCAUCUCGAGACUCAGAACUAUCCUUCUGAGAAGCUGCACCCAGGUUCGUCUUCUCACCACUACGUUGAGAAGAAGAAGACAUAUCAACAGGACGAGGCGGACCCAUUGGUUCUGUAGGAGGGGACGAUCGAGGAGAACGGUCAGUCCGGGCCCUCGACUUCUCUCUUCGCGGAGAAGAACCACUACGGGAUGACCUGUCCCUCUUUUUGCGAAUUAAAUCCUUGAGCGGUUCGUUGCUAAAGUCAUCCCGGGAGGAACGAUGAGAAUCACGGUUAGGAGAUUGAAGCCUCCGGGGAGGACGGUCAUCGUGACGUUCACGUUGAGGUGUCAAUCUGAAAACGGCGAUGGAUCUGGCUCCUUCGGUGCUACCGUCGUCAACCAAUAAGGUUUUGCUAUAAUCUUUUUUGUCAAUGGCGGUCGCAAGGAACGCCUUUUUCUCGUCGCAAGCCUCAACCAUCGGCUUGGAGAUUACUUUUCGCUGGGCAGUGAGAGCUCGAGCUGACAUUCCCUGGGUUGAGGGAGGAGGCGGAAGACGAUGAAGAUGGUUGGGAGGGCUCAUCCUGAGUUUUCGAUUGGCUUCUAUGAACCGAUCGAGAGUGAAAGAAUUCCAAAGGGUUUCCCCUUCGAGGAUUAUUUUGAAGAAGCCAAUGAAUUCUUCAGUUGGUAAAGUCGGAGCGACGAAAGCUGCAAAGUGAAAAUAACAAGUUUAAUCAAUAGGAAUAAUAAAAUUAGAGGAAUGUAUGCGACCUAAUUUCUACCAGGUUUCGCGGACCACUUCGAUGGAAGUAAAUCUGAUAGACUUCCAAUCGAAGCAGGGGUUUUCUUAAUCAGGAACCAAGGGUGAUGCCAAUUUUCAUCCUUGUUUGGAAGAUGCGAAAUGACGUUCCUGUUAGCAUUAGGGUAUGCCGAGAAAUACCCUGCCUUCUUCGAUGAACUUCUCACGCUUAGAAGCUCAUUCAACUCGGGGACCCCUAUAAUGUAUCCGGCUUCCGCCGCUACUGUUAUAAUUCCAAGUAUGGUUCGGAGAAGAUUGGGGGUCAAUUGAGGAAGAGCGAUCUCGAGAACCGCCAAGUACCGAACUAGGGCUUCGGGAAGCGGGAAGGUUAAUCCGCAACCCUUGAAAUAAAUCUCGUACACACAGAAUUAACCAUCGCGAUGGUUCUCUGGGGAUUCUGUGGGAGCAGCUAUUUGUGCUUCCGCCAUAAUUUCCGGCGGAAUCCGGCAAAGCUCUCUCAACCGCUCGAGGGAUUGAAGAGUACAAGUGGAUCUAUAGUGCGGACCGGCAAUAUCAUUAGGGCGAGUGCACUCGUCAUUACUAGGGCGCCUAUCGUCGAAUGACGGAGAUUCGGGUCUUUCAGAAUCAGAAGUCAUUGGGAAAAUGGAAGGUUCGAGAUCCGACGAAGAGAAAUUUGGCAAAGGAAAAGAAGAGAGAAGUUUCGAAUAAAGUGCAAAUGAAAAAGUAGAAAAUGAUGAUGAAAAGAAGUUACCUUACACAAGCUAAAUGAUGGAACCGCCUCGGAAGUUGUGUGGGAAGUGGGAAGGUUUUUUCCGUUUUAAUAGUAAUUAAUUAAUAUACGGUCAUAAUGAUGACAGAUGUCACUUGGGUAAAAAUGGCUAGUGCCGAAAUUAAAGGAGUGAUGAGAUUUUCGGCGGGAAAUCAGAAAGAUUCUCGAGCGCAAUCUUUGGUCAUUUAAGCAUUUAAAGUCCUCCGAAUUGGAAUGGCACUUCGAAGAACUUGGGGGGCUAAUUGUUGGUGUCGGAUCCCGCACCAGAGGUCCAGGACCAACCAAAGAUUGCCACGUAGUCAGGGUAGCGGCCCGUAAAGGAUAAAGCCCAUCAGACCCACGAGUCAAAAGAACAAUCGAAGUGGUAACCACCAUAAGGAGAAUUCGAAGUGACUGCACCUCGACACGAGUCCGGAGACGAGGUCAUGGUUUAGUCGGUCCAAGGACAUUUGGGCCGAAAGGCGAGGCCCAUAGAGAUCGGAGUCAACUCAAAUUUAAACGUUGAGCAUUAAAGUCAAGGAAUCAAAACGGACACAUUUAAGAGGGAAUAAUUGUACUUAAUUAUUCAUUUUAAUGUCGUUUCUCUAUGUAUAAAUAUAAAGGUCAAUGGCCAUGUAAAAGGGGAUCUUCUUCUGGAGAAAAGAAAUAAUAUAGCAAUUUUCGUAGCAAUUUAUAAAUUUUUACAUAUUCAUUUUUGUCCCUCAAGAGUAAUCUUUCCUACUUAAUAGAAAUACUUGAGUGUGUGAAUCCGACUUCCACAAUAGGUGCAUGGUUCUGGAUACUUUUUGAUAGCACAAAUGUAAGCAGUAAACUCUUCAGACAAUUGAGCAUAAUUAACAUAUGCUGAGAUAGGGUACCUUAUAUCCUUCAUCACAUCAGGUACAACAUUGCAGUGAUAGUCUUGGAGAUAUCCUGGAGGUCGACUUGCUCUCUUUGUAGACUCUGAUUUAUUUUUAAUCUUUGUAGGUGCAAUAACUUCAACUGCAGGUGAAACAUCACUAGAAACACCACUAGAAACUGAUGUAGGUGUGACAUCACUAGUAACAGGUGAAGCAGGUGCAAUACUUGUAGGAGCAGAAUCAAUCUCAUCAAAAACAUCAGAAGUCAAUCCUCGUAUAUCAGCAAAAGGAAAAACCGUUUGGAAGAACACAACAUGUCUAGAUAUGUGAACUGUAUUAGUCUCAAUAUCCAAGAGCUUGUAACCUUUGUAGCCCGCAGGGUAACCCAAGAAAACACACGCCUUUGCUCGUGGCUCGAAUUUAUGUCUCUGUUGAGUACUAGUUGACUGAUAACAGAGUGAACCAAAAACUUUCAGGUGUGAAUAAUCAGGUACCUUGGAAUGAAGCAGCUCAAAAGGUGUCUUCUGUGAUAGUAGAGGAGAGGGUAAUCAGUUGAUUAAGAAGACUGCUGACAAGAUACAAUCACCCCAAUAUUCCAGUGGUACACAAGACUGAAACAUGAGUGCCCUUGCAACAUUCAAUAUAUGUUGAUGCUUCCUCUCUACUACCGAGUUUUGUUGAGGCGUCUCAGGACAUGAAUGGUAUGAAACAAUGCCUCUCUCCUUAUAAAGCUUGUCAAACUUCAACUCAGGUGCAUUGUCUGAUCUUACAGCCUUGACACAAGUCUGAAACUGGGUUUGAACCAUCUGAAUAAAGUCUGGAAAUAUUGUUAAAACUUCAUUCUUGGUCUUCAUGAGAAAAACCCAAGUAGCACGACUAUAGUCAUCAACGACUGUUAAGAAGUACCUGUAUCCUUCUACAGUGGGAGUGUUAAAAGGUCCCCAAGUAUCAAUAUGAAUAAGAUCAAAAAUAUGAGUAGACAUGUUAUUCUUGGAAGGAAAAGAUAAGUGCUUCUGUUUAGCUUUCUGGCAAAUAGAGCAAUGAACUGUCUCAUCUUUAUUCCUUUUAUUAAUUCCAAGAGUAGCGUGUAAUACAUCAAUCUUUUCAUAUGAUGGGUGCCCUAAACGACUGUGCCAUAAAGCACUAUCAACAAUAACAGAGACUUGUGGAUUAGAAGAGACAGAUGGUAAACUAUCUGAACUAGUACAUUCAUCAGAACUAGCUUCAAGGACAUACAAGCCUCCAAUCUCUUUACCUUCUCCAAUUAUCAGCUUCUUGGUAUGAUCCUGGAUUAUACAACAAUCCUCAUCAAAGGAAACUCUUGAUUUCAUUGAUUUUGCAAGUUGACUGACGCUUAGAAGAUUAAGUCAAAAUUCUGGAAUAUAUAACACAUUAGUCAAAGUAAUGUGUCUAUUCAACUUAAUUACUCUUAUGCCUGCAAUUUUGACAUUACUGCCAGUAGGAAGAGUAACAACACUACUUAGACCAUCAGAUAGGCUCUCAAACAAGUUCUUAUCAUAUGAAACAUGAUGUGAAGCACCACUAUCUAUGAUCCAAGUACUACUGGUUAAAACUUUCCUAGAGGCUGUCAUAACACACAUAAACCAAAGAGUAGAGGGAGAGAAAGAGAUACCAGUUAACGCAGAACCAUCAACAUCACUAGUAGAAGCAAUAGAUGCAACAGUGACUGGUUGUGCGGAAUUGUGAAGUUGAGUACUGAAGUACAAUCACAUCUUGAAUCUGGUUCUUUGACAUAUUCCCAAUAAGUUCUGCAAUCCCAUUUGGUCCAAUACCGGUGUUAGUUGUUGCUGUGCCAUCAGUCAAGGCAAGAUUAGCAACCACUGGUUUGAAUUUAUCCACUGAGACCUUUCCUUCAGAUUUCUGUUUGUUUUUAAAGCCAAUUAGGUAUCCGUGUAUCUUAUAACAAGUAUCCACACUGUGUCCAGUAUAUCCACAAUGAGCACACUGAAUCUUAUUUGGAACACCCUUAGGAUUAGGCUGAUAAGUAGACUUUGCAGCAUUUACUGUAAACUGUGCACUCGAAGAAGUAACCUGAAAUGCAGAAGCAUUAUUUGGAAUUGUAGCAAUGUUGCGCUGACUGUGAUCUUGAUCCAAUAAGUUGUAGGUUUCUGCAAGAUCCGGAAUUGUCUUCUUCAUAAUAAUCUGACUCCAGAUGGUUGAAUAAGAUUCAUUCAAGCCUGCAAGAAACUUAACAAUCUUGGCAUUAUCAGCUAUUGAAGCAGUAGCAGUACAACAUUUGCAGUUUUGACAUGUCUUGACACAAGUAGCACCAUCAAGAUCAUCCCAUAAAGUCUUCAAAGCUGUAUAGUAAUCGGAAAGACUCAUUGAUCCUUGUUGUAGAUUCUAGAUUUGUUGAGUCAAUUGAUAGGAUCUUGGUAGAUUAGUAAUGUGAAAUCGAGAUAUCAAAUCUUUCCAGAUUUCUGCAGCAUCAUUAAAUCGGAGAAUACUCUUGUAGAUUUGUUUGGUGACAGAAUUAAAGAUCCAAGACUUAACCAUACUGUUACAACGUGACCAUACUCGAAAGCUAGGAUCAAAUUCAGGAGGUCUUGGUAGUGUACCAUCAACAAACGCAAUUUUAUUCUUAGCAUCUAAGGCAACAAACAUCGCAAUUUUCCAAGAAGAGAAGUUUGAUCCAUCAAGUACCUCAGAACCAAGAGUUGCUCCCGGAUUAUCACCAUUUUAUAACGCAUACGGUGAAUAAUGUGAAUCCAUGAAGUCGAACUGUGGAAUUUGAUGAAUCGGUGCUCUUGGAGCGAAGUUUGGUUGAAACGGAGAAGAAUUUUGUGGAAUCGGUGGAAUCGGGGAAGAAAUCGGUGGAAUCGGUGGAAUCGGGGAAGAAAUCGGGGAAGAUGAAGCUCGAAUCGGAGUCUUUUCAGCUGAAUCUUUGCUCGAUCUUCUUGUACAACGCCGUAAUCUUUGAACGGAAACCAUCGCAAGAUCUGAAGCUUUCUCUGCUGAAUUUGAUAAGAUCCGAUCGACGAAAAACGAAGAAAUCACAGAGUUCUAUGGAAGAGAAGCUCUGAGAUCCGAGAAUCGGUUGAGUUUUCGUACUCAACGCUCUGAUACCAUAAUAGUUGAUGAGAGAAUCGAAGAACAAACGAAGAAGAAAGUGAAGAUUCUGUUAUAUCUCAUAAAACGUUUGUUACAACAAUGAUUUCUAUUUAUAGUCUAGUGCUCCGGUUAUCACAUUCUGAUUCCCGGUUUACACAAACCAUAUCUCUAUACCAAUAUGAGUUAUGGUUCUUUAUAAUUUCAAACAUGUUUGGCGUUUGGGGGACAAGUUUGCUUUCACAACCGUAUUGAAGAUGAAUGAUGUUAGAAUCUUUAUUUUGUCGAUGUUUUGUGCUCUGUUUUAUGCAAUUUUGCUUAUGAGUUAUGAUUCUUUAUCAUUAUCAUGCGGGUGUAUUUGACUUACUAUGGUUAUUACUUAAUAAAGUAUUGAUGACGAACAAAAUGUAGAUGCGUUCUUGGUCGAUUUAUGUGUCGGAGAAUUGGAGACUCUUGAAGCUCCUCCCCAAGAUAUACCUUUUUGCUAGUUUCAGUGAAACGAAAGUUUGGUUUUGAUUUUGUUAGUGCAUUGGAUAAAUGUAUUCUUAAAGAUAAAUCUCGUUUCCUUUUCUGUAGACAACAUGUGUUUAGUGCCGAACAUAUACAUGCAAUAUUUUUCUCACUUAUAUAGUUACUAUGUUGCAUUAAAUUAUGCCUCAAUCAUGUUUGUUUUGACAGAGAAGAUGCAAUCUUGAGAAAUCUCUCCCAAAUAUUCGUGAAAUCGAUGAGAAAUAUACAGAAUCAUCAUAUAUUUACAGAAUUUUAUCUGCAUUAUUUUUAGAUGGCCAAAAGAAAUUUUAUGCAUAAUGAUAGAUGUUGAAUUUAAUCGUUACAUGGUUUUGGCAUGUCUAAGCUGCAAAGACGCAACUUGAUUGAGGAAAUGCAAGAAAUAAAAAUAGUUCAUCACACCUAAUAUAUAUGCCCUAAUGAACUAACCAACAUACAAAUCCAAUAUCAUAGCCAAAGAUUUAACAUCCAUAAUUCUCUAGCUCAUAGACAAAGCAAAUUAACCAUUUGAAUUGAACCAAUCUUUCAAUAGAAAUGGAUGCACACUUCAAAUAUUCAAGCAAAAUGAAAGAAAUUGAGAAACACUUGCAAACAAGUCUGAAUUUACAUAAACACACAAAUCAGAGAAAAAAUAAAAAGUAAUCAAGUUUGCGAAAAGGGAUGUGUCAUGUGUGAUGUCGCAGUUUCGUGGGACGAAGCCUAAAACAUUUUAAAAAAAAAACUCUUGAGCAUGUGAUAGUUAAACAAUAACAAUCACAUAGAUGUAAUAGUAAUAAAAAAAAAACUGACCUCUUUCUUAACUUGGGUAAAACCGCUCCUUAGUCGCUUGGUCUCUCCAUUUCACUUUUUCCAGCCAUUCUUUUUCUGCGUUCAUGAUGACAUUUUGCGACUGAGCGCUCUCGGAAUUGAUAGGAAGUCUUGUUAACAAUGGACAACCUUUAAUGUUGAUUUCCUUAAGGUUGGGAAAAGGCAACGGACCCCUGUAGAUGCUACGGAGUUUAACCAAAUUCCUCAGUGUAAGGAACUCUAGUGCUCUAAAAGGUAGUAGUCUAUAAGGUUGUCUGUUUCGAAGUGACUUAGACAUCAAAGGAAACUCAUCAUAUCGAUCUAUUAUGGCAUGUAUGUCAGGUAACCAUACCAAGUAUAAAACAGCAAGAUGAGGAGCAUAUAAAAGACAUGUCAAAUCCCGUAGACUAGUACAGUUGUCUAAUCUCACUUCGCGUAGACUGAAAAAAUUUAUAUUGCUACAAUACUCUGAAGCAGGUUUCAGCAAAUGAACAUAUUCAUCAUCACUAUCGUUGUUUGGCAAUUUUAUCUCUAACUUCGGUAUAUUUGAGUCUAGUAUCUCCAAAACACGACUACUUGAAAUCAUCCCAAUAGGUACAAUGAGUACACUUGAUUGAUUGCUGAGAUGUAAUUGUUGGUUGUAGCUAUUGAGCUUCUCAUCUUUAAGAUAACUUUCCAAACCAGAUGAACCUCUCAAGGUUAUUGUCAACUGAUAUAAAUGCUCCAAGCGUUGUAUCUCCUUAACCACGUUGUCAUUAGUAUCUAUUCCAGAACCAUACAAUCUCAAAACUUGUAGACUCGACAAAGACGAUAUCCCAUCGAUCUUUUUCAGCAUGUAUGUAUGCUCCAAAUUCAAGUAUAUCAGUUUAUUGAGCUCAUAUAACCCAUUUGGAAGAUCUUUUAACCCCGUGCAUGAUAGGUUUAAGUACCUUAACGAGACCAAAUUUGAAAUGUUAGGCAACCUUGUAAGGUUUGCAUUCAAAGAAAGAUCUAAAACUUUGAGAAUCGGAACGCAGUAGAAAAAGUCUUGUGAGAUAUUCCUUAGUUUAUUAUCUCGAAGAAGUACGGUAUCGAGGUUGGGACAAUCAAGACUCACGCAUGCCUCCUCAAUUUGAUUAGAUAUUAAGGAUAUGCUACUAAUAGCUUCCUGGUCCUUAAUCUUCGGAAUUUUACGAGCAUUUUCUUCGACGGCAACAAGCUUCUCUUGAGGCCCACCAAAACCUAAUGGUAUCCACAACGCCAUAUCCCGUAUCACAUCAUGCAUCUUCACUUUAUCUUUGGAUUCACUCUCAAUCAAUAAACACGCAUUUUUGAGAGCUUCUAUGAUUGUAUACCCUUCAUAAUUAAGUUUAGUCCCACCUAUUAGCUCAUGGCCUACCCAAUAGUCUAUCAAAUCAUCUUUUCCUAUUUCGUAAUCCUCGGGACACAAACCACAAAAUAGGAAGCAUUUCUUGGUUUUCUCAUCGGCUAAGUCGUCGUAGCUAAAUUUCAAAAUGGAAAGAAUCUCGGCUUCCAUACCUGAGAACUGAGCAGCAGAUGAAGACAAAACAUUAGCUGCGUGAUGCCACUCUUCAACUGUCUUCUUGCGUGCCAUGACUUCGCCAAUUACAUUGAGAGCGAGUGGCAAGCCUUUACACUUUUUCGCAACUGAUCUUGCGACUUCAAGAAUAUCUGGAUGACUUUUUAUUGUUUCUUCCAUAUUUUUAGUGAACAAAUUCCAAGCAUCAUCCCACAUCAUACAUGUUACCUCUAUCUCCUUAUCUACCCCCAUUCUUCCGCAAACUUCAUUAGAACGAGUGGUGAAUACUAUUUUACUUCCAUUUCUUCUUGGAACCGGAACUCCAAUGCUUGCUAAAUCCACCUUCCUCCACAUAUCAUCCAACAAUAACACAUAUCUCUUGGUCUUUAGAGACUUGUUUAUAUCACACGCUUUCUCAUUUUCUGUUUUCCUUUCCCAGUUUUCAUCGUAGAUCUCUAGUCUUUUGCCAAUAUCUUCUUGAAUCCUCUUAACCGUUGUGUUGUUAGACACCACAACCCAUAUUACAAUGUCAAAUUGGUUGCUUUCUAUGAGAAACUUGUUGUUGAUUUGAGAGAGGAGUGUGGUCUUGCCCACUCCCCCCAUGCCAUAAAUACCCAAAAUCCCAACUCCGUCCUCCAUGAUACUAUUCCAGGUUGAUUCAAUCAAUUCCUCUUGACCAAAUAUCUUCUGGUGGAAAAGCCUCUCCUCCACCUUUUGUAUAGGACCUCUUUGAGUUACUUCAUCAAAAACUCCUCUAAAUAAGAGAAUCUCAGUUUCUGUCAACUGCUUGACUACCCUUUUACUAUAACCAUUUCUUGAUAUCCAAUUCUUGGAACAAUAUUGAUAACAACAUAACUUAUCUAUUUCAUCAUCGCUUUGCAAAAGUAAAUCAUGGGUUUCACGUACCGUGAUAUCAACUUCCGAAAGCCAUUCUUGGACUUCAGCUAAUCGGCUUCGGCCACCAUCUUCUUGCACUUUUACCCUUGUCAGCAAAUCAUCUCCUCUUGCUUCCAGCUGUCGUGUAGCUCGCCUCAGAGAUGCAAGAUUGUUCACAAGGUUGCGGAAGGAAUUUCCGUCCCCGCUAAUGCAGCUGGUAAGGUUAUUAAUAGCUUGGUCACAUGAUAUUGCUAUGGAAACGCAACCUCCCAUCUUUUCUAGAUCUGGCAAACUAGGGAGACAAAUCUCACAGCUUUAUGCAAAUUCCUUUCUAAUGUUUUAUUUUAUUAAUUGAGGCGUGUGCACGAUCAUUCUGGUUGACCCCAAUGACAUCUAGUUAUCUAAGACAUGAUCUUUUUUUUUUUUAAUUAAAAAAUAGAUUGUAUUGAAGUGAACAUUUUAUUUUUAUAAUGUUAACGACCUUUAAUUUAGGAUUUAACAGAGCCAAAGUUUAGUGACCAGUAACAUGUUGAUUUUGUCUUAACAAAAUUUAGAUGUGUUUUGGCUUAGCCAAGUCAAAAUUGUUAUUUACAUCUCGUUUUCCAACAAUGGUUUUCUUAUUAUUAAUGUUUUGUUAGCCAAUGGUGCUCUUAUUGGCAACCUAAAUUUUUUGUAAUGGAUGAGUUACUACCUAUCAAUCCUAGGCCUUGGACGAUGAUCCAUGACCAUAAGCAUGCUGUGAACAUUGAUAUAUCAUGGUUUUUACCGUUUUUAGCUAUGAUAUAUGUGUCAGUUUUAGAGUCUUUUUGUUAUUUCUAGAGUCUUAUCUAGUCUUUUACAGGUUUAUGCAUGUUCAGGACUAAUUUGAAGAUUAUGGAUCAUUCUGGAGCAAAACCGAAGAGUUAUACUACGAAAGCAAUCCGGAGACCAAAAUACGUGUAGGUGUCGAUCGACACCACCCCUGGUGUCGGUCGACACCAAUAUUUUACGACAAUUCAAUUUCGAGUCUCUUUGAAGUUUUGAAGAUUUGCAUAAUCGCUCCAAAACUUUUCCCUAUUUUCAAAAAAGUCCUUGCACAUUUUUAAGAACAUAUAAAUAGAUUUUUAGGGUUUUGUUUUAGAGACAUCUCUGAGAUCUUUGAUCUCUCAAUCUCUCAUUCUAUUGUAUUAUUUGGAGCUUGAACCCCUUGGGAGAUAAUUGGAGAGAGCUCCCCUCUAGAGAAGAUCUUUUUUAACUCAUCUCUUUUAUUGAAUCUCUUUAUGCUUUCUAUUCAUAACAUGCUUACUGUUACCAUGAUCAUGUCUGAGUAGUUUGCUUGUUAGGUUUAAGGAUUCUCAUUAGGGAUUUAGAUGAAUUAGUAGAUCGAUAACAUAUUAGGAUAAUAUCUUUAGAGUUCUUCAUCUUUGAUUGUUCUUAAUGCUAAUUCUAGAGUAAUUAAAUAUAAUUUGAUCCUAGGAUAAUAGGUUAGAUCCGAGAGGGCGCUUAUUACUGGAACUAUCUUAGGUGGGCAGAAAUAGCUAGAUUUAGACGAGAGUUGGUCUAGAUACUUUUGUGAACAUAUCGAACCUGAUCUUUAAUGCUCGUUUAGUUUUAGGGAUUUACAGACGAGAGUUGCAAUUCAUGCUAAUAGGCAUAGAUAGUCAAUUUAGACGAGAGUUGGUUGAUUAUAGUUUUGUGAUUCGAGUUCAAGAACGGUUCUUAAAUAAUUCCUAAUUAAUUGCUAGAUCUACUAUUUAUCUAUUUUCUGAGAAUUUCCCUAGGCCUCACGUUUUCCUCAUUUGAUUUAAAACCCAAUUUUAGUUGCUUACUUUAUUUUUAAUAUUCUUAUUUUCUGUUUAGCUUAAUUUAAAACAUGUUUGUUUAUUGUGUGAACACGAGAGUUUUGUAGAUUUCGACCCUAAAAUACUACACACGAUCUCUUAUUUGAAAGAGUAGUCUUAGAUCUAAUUUGACUCACAUCAAACAUAUUCAUCAUAUUAAUGAGAAUAGAGAGAAGCCAAAACUUACAUAGCUCUUCUCACAGUCGUCGAAGAAAAGAGAGACAAUUACAAAAUUAGUGUUGCCUUCAUCUUGUAGCCAUUUCAACUAAAAGAAUUGAUCGCCCAAAUAAUCUUCAUAAAGCAAAAAAUAAUCAAGCACUCGUUACAACGAAGAAAACCUAUUAGUAAGUAAUUUAUCGAAACGUCCACUCUAUAAACUUUAACCAAUAAGAAAGUCAUACUGGUCUAAAUAACCAUCCAAAUUUGGAGAAAUCUUUUUAGAAAUCUUUUUUAAGAUGAUAUAUAUUGAUGUUAUUUUAUAUUUAUUUAAAUAUGUUAACUUCAUUAGGGGAAAACGGCCAAUAGCAAUCCCAACUAUUUCCUUGCGGCCUUGAUAAGUGCAGGGGGUCAGAGUUUAGGUUGAAAAAUGUCGCACGAAAAUAGUUGGAGUUGAUUUUGGCCGUUUGUGUACUUGAUGAUAAAUUUAUAUUUACAUUCAUCAAAUCAAAAAUUGUUACAAACUACCUAUUUUUACAAAUUUAUCUCCAUCCAAUAUCAAUCUUCAUAUUACUUUUCAAAAACUCCCUAUUUUGCCAACAGACCUUAAAAUUAUAACUUUAAAAUUUUAACCCUUAUUAUAAUAGUAGGUUGACUCUAUAGUAUAUGUUUUGAUCAUGUAUUAACAUUUUCAAAAUCUUUGACCAACAUAUUAAGCAUUUAUAUACAUUCUAAAAUAUUGUAAGCAAACAAGGAAUAUUGGUAUAUAAUAAAGAGGUAAAUAUUUAAAAGAAAAAAGACUUACAUCAAGAUAAUAAAUUUUCAGUUGAAAUAAACUUUACUUUAAAAAAUCAUCACUUAUCAAAACAUAAAAAAUUUAAACUAUAUUUUGACUUUUUACUAAAUAUAGGAAAAACUAUUUAACAAUUAUUAACAAUAUUUCGGAAUAAAAAAUCGUUUCUUGGUAAUGGAGCUUGUGUUUUUAGCACAUAGUGUAUGAAAUUUGAGAAAUCAGUUUUGUUGAUGUCAUGCAACAUACUCAUUACAGAAUACAAAAAUAGUAUAGUGCGGCUUAUACCUAUCGACCAUGAGUUCUGUUUCUACAAUGAUGUAAAGAUUUUGGUUUUCUUGGCGUUAUUCGCUUCUAUCCUUUGAAAGUAUUGUUUACCAUGAUCUCUUCUUUUUGCAGUAAAACCUAGUGAAAUUCUGUUGGUCGGACAAUGAUUAGAUAUGUAGUGUGAGUUUACUGCUGCUUUCUCCCCAUGUUUUCUCAGCUACGUGGAAGGUCUCAGCCCUAAAAGGGACAUCCAAUUUCUUAGCCGUUGUGGCUGGGAGGCUGGACCCGAAUUUUCAGCUCUGUUCCAUCUUUACCUCUCUCUAAUCUGCAAUAUAAGAAAAUCUGCAUUGUCAAGAACCCCAUUAGAUAUCUCAAAUAUAGUAUUUUAUUCAUUUAAAUUUUGAAUUAUAAAGAAAAAACUAAACUAAUAAUAUGAUGACAAGUGGGCAUCUAAAAGAGUUUUCAAAAGUUCUCAUUUGAGAAAAGUUACUAAGUAUUUUUCUCCUGUUUUUCAUUAUUUUAAUAUUUUAAUGGUUGAAAACUCCAUGUAUUUUGAUGGAGGUGCCAAAAAAAUAUCAUCAAACCUAAUAUAAGUAUAAUUUUUUUAAUAUCAUACACAAAGCAAAAAAAAAUCUACACAAGUAGUUACACAUAUGUAUACCUAAUGGUAGAGACCUCAAUAAUACCCUUCUUAUAUUUUCUAUACAAGUCCAGAACAUUUAAAAAUGAUAUGUAUGCAGGAUCAUCAUCGAAAUUUUGUCUAUAGAUAAAUAAUGUUAUUUAAGAGAAAGUGGCAAAAACAAAAAAGAAUGUAGGGCUAGAAAUGAUUUUUUUUAUCAUAAAUUGGGAGAAGCAUAAAUAAAUAAAAAUAGAAUCAUAAACAAAAUUUUCAACCCUAUAUUUUACCCAAAAAUAGUGCACAUACCUUGUACUUUGGACCUUGUGAAUAAAAUCGCAUCGUUAAAAUUAACAAAUAUCUUUGUUAGAGUUUGGUCAUCCUCAAGUGUAUCUCAUAACCUUAUAAUAAAAAUGUAUUGAAAUCCAAUAGCUGCUUUUGUUCAUUCACUCAUAUGAUGACAUUAUUAGUUCCAAUUCUACCAUGAAAUAUAAUCAAAUUCAGUUUCCCAAAAACAAAAUCAUAAUUAAAAGCUGAAAUAUUAUGAAAUAGCAUAACCCAUAAUUAUAAGAGAGGAGAGAAUCCUCCGAACUUUGAAAUCCUUCAAAAUCUUAAAAAACAAAUUAAAUUGUUUUAUUUUGAAAUUUAAUCUCCAUAGUCUCUAGAUACUUACGUGCAACAGUUAAAGUUAGCAUCGACGCGACAAUGGUUUGAAAUCUGCUAGAACUUUAUUGCCCUAAAAAAAAUAGAUCAAUGUUGGUCUCCCAACAUUAACAACAUUACAACAAUGAAAAUCAACCACAAGUCUGAAUAAAUAAAUUCAAAACUAUAUAUAUAUAUAUAUAUAUAUAUAUAUAUAUAUAUUUAUAUUCAAAUAAUCAAACCUGAAAUCACCUCAAAUAGUCAACAAACUUUGUUGGUUGAGUUUAUAUCAUCUUGAAAUGUUUUCUCAACCCUUAGGUAAGAAUCUAUUGAAACUCAAAAGCAGUUCGCGUUUUAUCUUGAAGAAGAGUUAUUUCACUCUUAAUAUUACGCUAUUUUUUCUUUUCUCAUAUAUCAAUAGCAACUCGCAAGCGCACAAUAAAAUUUUCAAAACUAAUUAUAUAUAAAUUUAUAAAUUUUGAAACUUGAAAUUAAUCCAAAAAACAAACAAGCAUCAUAUACAGUAACCCGAAAACUAUCAUGGAGGAUAUUGCAAUAUAUAUAAUCAAAAACGAUAAACCAAAAUUUGAGCCUAACUUAAUCCUAAUAUUAUUUUACAUUAUAUUUUGUAAAUGAAUAAAAUUCUCAUAACAAAAUACAAAAGAAAAACAAUAGGAUAAGGAAAAAAAAAAGGGUCAUCAGAUAGUUGUUGAAUCUUGUUGAAACUUAAGUAAUGAUUGCAUCAGAUCGUAAGCCAUCCAAAGAGUGGAGAAGGUGAUCCUAGCUUCUACCAUAUUAUAGGCACCAACACAUGCCUAAAGAACUAAGGGAACUAAUGAGGAGUUCAACAGAAUCAAGGAAAACCGCACAUGAAGAGAUUCUACUCGCCUAUGCAUAUGAGCUCAGAUAUGUAGUCCAUAACCUACAUAUGAAUCGGUCCAAUCCUCUGCCACCUUGGCCUCGUUUAAUGGACCUUUCAAGAAUCUAGAUAGCUGGAGACCCAAGAUGGAUUAGGAGAGGCCAUCUCAUUAACACCGAAUCAAGCCCAUUUGCACAAUUUUUUUUUAUAUAAACCUAAAUAAGAAAAUUGCCAUCUUCAUCUGUAAAACUUUUUUCUAGAAAAUUUGUAACUCUAGCUAGAACAUAGGGGUUCAAACAUCUAGAUAGAAGGUUCUACAAAGCCCUCUGUAGAACCUCUGUUUCAAAAUGUAAGACGUUUUGAAGUAUUAUUUUUGUUUCAAAAUAUAAAACGUUUUCAAGUUUCUAUGCAAAUUAUAUAUUAAUUUAAUAUUUUUUAUGAUUUAUAUUAUGUAGUCUCAUUCAUGAUUGGUUGAACUUUUUAAAAGUAGAUAUUUCUUAAUCUGCAUACUUUUAACUAAAACGUCUUAUAUUUUGAAACGGAGGGAGUAUGUAUUUAUAGGAUUUGAGAAGCGCAUCUAGCCUAGUAGGUCACCAUUAGUUGUCGUCUCUUCUCAUAUAGUUUGAAUAUAGAAAAGAGAUAACUGGGUGAGAGACUAACGAUCCAGUUGAAAUUAAAUUUUCGGUAUUAUGUUUUCAAGGCCCAAGGCAACAAUAAUUUUAGCCCUUUUUUGCCAACUUUAACCCCAAGCACUAGAGAAAAUCUGUCCAAACAAUAAACAGUAUAUAUUGUAUCUGACGCUUGGGUUAACUUUAUCUCUCUUCUUCUACAUCUCUGUAAACGCUAAGUUUCAUCUUCUUCCCAUCUGGAUUUCUUCUGUUCGUAUCUGAUUUGGAGAAGUAGAAAAACACCGCUGUUGCGUUUAGUUUUUCGUUGAGAUUACCUAUCUAUUUUAGUAAACCGGUGGAAGAUAAGACCGCAAAUGCUUGUUAAUAUCUUGAACCGUUUCUAAAUCUUAAUUUUUUUUAAUCAAUUUCGUUUGUUCAUGCGUUAUGAUCCAUCAUUGUCUCAUCUUUUCACUCAAUCUUCGUCUUUUGAUUUCUGAAGCUUUUUUUCUAAAUUUUCUUAUACCCUUUUUCCGAUCCACUUGUAUCUCUACUUGUUUUUGUUAGAUUCUUUUUAGACAUCCACUACUUCUCGUAGAUCUCCAUUUAUUAGGAUAUGAUGAUUGUAAUAUAUAUAUUGUAGCGUGCAUACACGUAUACAAAUGUUAAUAACGCUAUAUAUUUAUGUUUACAUAUAUACAAAUGUUAAUAAAGCUCUACAUAUGUGGUUACAUGUAUAUAAAUUUUAAUAACAUUUCAUAUACAUGUUUACAUGUAUACAAAUGUUAAUAAAGCUCUAUAUAUAUGUAUUUAUAUGUACACAUAAACCGAAUUAUUAAAUAUUUUAAUUAUUUCUAACACUUUAUGUAUGUGUUUAUCUAUAUACAAAUGUCAAAAUCGUGUAAAAUAUUCAUUGGGUUUCCAUGCAACUAUGUUAGUUGUUUAAAAAUUCGAAGAACUAGUUAUUGGGUGUCCAUGCAACUAUGUUAGUUGUUUACAUUUUUCGAUAUUCGUCUAAAACUGCUUUUGUUACAGAUUCAAAUUUCAAAUAAAGUCAUUUGCAUUUUAUAAACCAUCACCUCAUUCUUUCUGUUAACUGAUGAAUAUUUAUCAAUUAUGUCAAUUCAACUGGGAGCAUUUAUUAAACGUCAGAUUAUUCUUUCAGAUGCUUUAGAAGGCAUAAACUUCUCCACCACACGCAUACUUUAAAAUCAAGCCUGGUUUUUUCGUUAUUAAGUCGAACUUCAUACCCAGUUAUCUUCUUUAUUUUCUUCUUGUUCCUGACGAAAUCCACUAAUGUCGAUUACCUAAUUUUAUGUCCUUUUUUUUUCUCUGCUCAAAUUCACUCUAUAGAAAAUGGGUUAUUAGACCGGCCCGUUGUGACCAAACAAACAAAAUAAAUUUGAAAAGGACAUUCUUUUAAAAGGAUUUGUCCAUAUUCAGCCUUGUUUCCAACAAUUAGUUGUCUUCGAAAUCUGUAAAUAUACUUGGAGAAAGAUACCACUAGACUUACCAUAUGAAGAUUCAAGAGAUCAUGUGGCUCCUCUCGCUAUAACCAUAUGAAGACUGAAAAGAUGCUAUGGCUCCUCUCAUUAUAACCAUACGAAAACUCAAAAGAUUAUUUGUCUCCUAUUGUUAUAACCAUACUGAUAAGCUCAAAUUUACCCUAGAGCUACUCUCCAAAUUAACUGAUAAAUUAUAAUAUUUAGGGGUCAAAUUCCACAAAUUUCUCAAUUUCAACAAUAGACUAUUAGUAUUCGAAUUAAACUAAACGAAAAUCAAGAAAACAAAUAAGAGCAAAGCAAAUUAAAAAGAGUUGUAAACGAUUGGGAAAAGAGAUAUCUCCAAAUUUGAUCUCCAAGUUCCUUUCUUCAACGCAACUUCUCGAUUUGCUCCAAAAUCUCCAAAUAAGUCUCGAAUGUACCUAAACAUGCAAAGACUCGAAAAGAAUCUAGAAACACCAAAAAUAUUCUAUAAAUAAGACUUAUAUCAUGGUUAAACACCGUAAAAAUCAUGAUACAGUAUAUCACAUACAAAGACUCAAAAUACCCUCAUACUCCUUUCAUUUGAGUGAUAAAAGUAUUUGAGUGAUCAAAGAAUCCGGCAAUGCACUGUUUCAUUCGUACCUCAUCAGAAGACACAACCCUAAAGUUUAAACCAUUGUCAAAAAAUCAUAGGUGUGACUUCUUCAAUUUCUUUCAAAUACUAGGGUUAUAAAUCAAAUUUACGUAAAGUGUAAAACUGAUGGAGUAAUCUGAAGAAUUAUCGAUUUAAUUCAUUGGAGUCUUCAAAAAAAAUUCAAGGAAUCCUCAGACUCGCGAGUAUAAUCCAUUGAGACAAAUAAACUUUAAUUUAUAAGUACUGUUUUUGUGUUCACUAGAUUUUCUUGUCACUUCGUAAAUACUAAAUACUCCCUUAAUCUCUUCUCCUUAAAGAUUGAAUUUUUAGCUUUUUCACAUUAAAAACAAUAUAUGAUUAAUUAUGGGGAAAAUAUCGAAAAAUACGCCAAUUUUUAAAUUUGGGACUAUUAAAGCAUAAAUUCUCGAAAUCUAUACUAUUAAUUGAGAAUCACUAGAAAAUAAAGAACCUUUUUGUUGUACAAUAUUACAUGAAAUGCUAUUGGUAUUUUUAAAUUUGAAAAAGAAAAAAAAAUAAUCGGAAAAUUGUAUUUGUGUCCAUUUGAUAUAUAUAUAUAUAUAUAUAUAUAUAUAUAUAUAUAUAUAUAUAUAUAUAUAUAUAUAUAAUUCCAUAAUUAAAUAAAAAAUUAAUAAAUACCCAAUAUUUAUGGAAAUUGUUUGAAGUAGUUCCCAUAAAAUUAACAAAUUAAUAACUACUCAAUAUUUAUGGAAAUCUUUUAAUAUUAAUUUCAAAAUUAUAUAUAUGUAAACUUAUUUAAUUUUGUAAUAUAUUUUGAGAUAUUUGCGGAAACAAAAAAAUCAAUUUAAUAUCAUCAUAUAUUUUAGAUUUUAAUUUAUUUAUUUAAGAAAAUAUACUAAUAAAUUCUGAUUAGCAUAGAUGGAAGAAUUUUUAAAAAAUUGUAGAUAUGUUAACUCAUUUAAUCGGGCAAGGUAAUGUUAGAUAUUUCCAGAAACGACAGUCCAAUUUAAUAUAAUUGAAAAAUAACAAAGCAUAAUUUAUUUUUGAUUUUUAAAAUUUCCAUAAUUAAACCAUACUAAUUAGUUUGAUUAGUUUAGAUGGAAGAAAUAAAAAGCGAAUUUGAUUAUUCCAACGUUUUAAGAAAAAGUUAUUAUAUUUCCCAAAUAUAAUAUUAACUAAAUAUUUUGUAUUUUGAAAUAUAGAAUAUUCCUCGAAAUAUUUCGUGAUUUGAAUGCAAUGCAUAAGCCCUAGACAAUCCAAACUUUCAUCUCAUGUUUGAUUUAUUUUUAAUUAAAUAUAAUAAUGUCAAAAAUUACUAAAUAUAUAUUAGGCUAAUAAAACUUUAUUUGUAGCCUAUAAAAUAUUUUCCACUACAUAAAAAAUAAUAUAUGUAUCACUACAUUAAAAUUGUCAGAAGACCAUGUAAUAAUAUAAUCAGUUUGAAGAUUAAUUUAAAAAAUUAUUAUUACAACAAUUAAAAAAUUAUCAUGUGUUUUCGUAUGGUUAACACACAAUUCUUUUAAAACAUUUACACACAAUUCUUCACUAACCAUAAUUUAUGUUGUCGGUUUUUAGUAUAUAUACACGUUAUCUGUUUGUUAUAACAUUAAAAUGUUCUCGUAGCUCAAUGGUUGAGUGUCUCUUAUUGGUGUAACAGGUCAGCAGCUUUGAAGAUGCAAUGUUUCCUUCUUAUUUAAAAACAAAUUUUAAAAAAUCAAUCUUUGCAAAAAAGAAAUAGAAAAUAUUGUUCAUUGUAAAAUUACAAAAAAUAAGUAUGAGGACUCAAUAAUUACAAUGACCAUGAGUCAGAGAUCUACAAGAAGCUCAAUUGGCAUGCAGCUGGUUGUGCCGGUGAGCACAUGAGCCUUGUCAUUGGCAGUACCGACUGAGAUGAGAGGGCGGGCGGUGCGAUCGCUCCGAGUACAAUCCUAUAUUUUAAUAAUUAAUGGUAUCAUUUUCAAAAAUAAUUUUUCAAAUAAUAAUUCAUUUAACAAAGUAAAAAUAAGAUUUAAAAGUGUCCUAAUUCUUUUAUAUGUAUUGCUUUUUGUUUUUAAUAACAAACUUUUUACAAAAAAAAAAAAUCAUAGAAAUUUGUUUUUGUCCUAGGGUCCAUAACAAUUCCUAUCAGUGUAGAAAUUAUCUAUUUUAAUGAAAGUUGCAAUUAGUCUUAGCAUAUUAUACCCAUGGUUUGUUAGAUUUAGCUUUGGGAUUGGGACAAAUCGACUCAAACUUGAUCAUCUUUUAUGUGCUUGUAAGUCAAAUUAUUCAAAUUUUCUUGCAUUAAUCUCAGUUUAUAUGUUCUUAUGAAAUUUGCAGCUAAGCCUAGCAUUUUAUAGACAAGGUUUUGACGGUUUUGUUUAGGUUUUCUUAGCUAUAACAUGGUAAUUAAAAACUCAGAUGAAAAUAGUUUUUUUUUCUUGAGGUUUGUUCUUCUUACUUCUGUUUGGAUUCUUUAACCAUGGAAUUAAUAUUCUUAAAAGCCAAUUUACGCAUAUUAUUAUUUUUGUAAAAAUUAUAUUCAACCAAAAAACAUAUUUUACUUAUACUACAUCCUUGUUUUGAUGUUUAAUAGAACAGAAUACUUAACGAAACAGAACAAAACAGAGUCGAUCAUCUCGUUGCGAACCAGAGCCGUAAACCAUCAUUUGGUUUAGUCGAGUGCAUGUCAUUGAAACGAGAAAAGGCAACUUCGGACAAUACGAUCAAUGCUCUUGGUUAGGGAGUUUGUCUGAGACGGAAAUUUGCCGUGUUUCGGUCAAAAAAAUCAGUCGUCUAAAACGUUUAGUUGACGUCUAGACAAUGUUCGAUUUACUAAAAGCUAACUACAAUUACUGUUUUUUUUUUUCGCCUGACUAUAAAUUUUACUUAUCAUUGUCUUGACCAACCAAAUCAUUGUUUUAAGAAAGUCCAAGCAUGCAGAGAUGUAUCGUGAUGGCAGGGCACGAAGCUACGUUUUACAUACGAAGGAACCAAUGAGUUGUGGUGGGACAUAUAUUUUGAUACGAAGAAAUUGAAAAACAUUCGGGCAAGAGACCCAAAAAGCGCGUACGUUACCAAACCGUCCCUACCGUUUCACCGACCGAUGGCCACAAUAUGAUCACGUGACCCAUCACGCGUCGGAGUUGGGUAAAUCCACCGAAAAGACUUUUUAGUAUCCAUCAACCACUAUGCCUUUUCUUUAAUACAAGUUGUUGCAAUUUCUAGGUUCUUUUGGCCAGGCUUUGUGCCUACAACUUUUCAGGUUCUAAAACUAAUAAAAAUAUAACGUAUACAUAUUUUGAAAAAAUUGACAUUAUAAAAAAAAAGUUGUAAAUUCUAGGAGACAGUUAAUGUCAGUUUCUUUAUAUGUGAAAUGGACCUUUAAACUCAAGAAAGUAGCACUAAAUUCCUUAUUUUACAUACUAUAUACCAAAUGAAAAUUUAAGAACUUGGCCCUUGAAAUUGGUAUUAAGGAUUUAAGACAAAUCUAUGUUUUGUUAUUUUAUUUUUAUGUCCCUGUAAUGUUUUUUUGGUUUGGCUUCUUGCGAUCCAGUUAUCUGUCUAUCUAUAGUUUUGUUAAUUUAUUUAAUUACAUUGUUUUUGUUUCUAAUCUAACAAGUUGGAUUGGCUUUUUGUAUGAAACUUGGACAAAGUAAACUGUUAAGCCACAUUGUCUUAAGAAUAUUCCGUUAAAUAAUCUUCCAGGCGACAAGAUUUCAGUCAAUAAUUUUGACUGGAUUACGUCUAAAAUAAGACAUCAAAACCAUACAACAUUAAGGGAAAAAUGAGAAUAAUAUUAAUGAAUUAAUUGAAUUACACUAGAAUUUGUAACAAAAAAAAAAAAAAAAAGAAUUACACUAGAAUAUUAUUUUCUACUACCAAAGACCAAACAUUGGAACUUCUUCUUUUAAUUCUCAGACCAUAGUAGAGCAAUCCGACGUCGUAGGAUCAUACAAAGCAGGAAGCAAAAACUUCCUGCCGUUUGCACCAUACGCAUUAAAACUACCUCCCGUUGUAGUAUCCACAAGUAAAUCUCCAGCAUAACCAGGAUAAGCUCCUUUACCAUAAACGCCAGGACAAGCAGACGCAGCUUCAAGCGGUGCGUUUUGUGGACCUUGAUAAUAACCAUUACCAAACGGGUUCGUUGCGGUUCCAGCUAAAAGACUAGCUAAGUUAAUAACCAUACCAUCAAGUCCAACGUCAUUGUUUGGUGCCACAAGUGGUGGACUCUGUGGACCGUACACCGGCGCGUGGAAAGGCCACGCGCAUUGACCAGGACAUUGUGUCUCAGAGUUUCCGACCCAAAUGUAAGCAAACUUGGAGCCACGUUUACCUAAACCACGAGCGUGUCCAUGAGUCCCGCAACGACUCAUACCAAAUCCUGUAACUGUAACGUCAGCUGAAGUCAAAACGACGUUGAUGGCGUCGCGUUGGUCACCUUUUGAAGCUAGUUGGCGAAUCUUUUUAUCGGUUAAAGAUUUUCUAAGAGAGCAAGACUCGUCGAGGAUUUGUUUCCCGAGGGUUAGAGAAAGAGGUGAUGAGUUUUUAUUGGGUGCUGCGAGUUUGUAGUAUUUUUCAGUGGUUUUCCACCACGUGGCGACAGAUGGUUGGUGGAGAGUUUUGGACGUAGGAGAAGUGUGUGUGAGUGAGGUUAUGAAGUCGGAGAUGAUUGCUCUUUGAGAUGGUUUGAAUUUGCCGUACCAGAUUAGGUUAACGGAGAUUUUGCCGGAAAGGAGAGCUCCUUUGUGGUACUUUAGUAGUUUAAACUGGUUUGGUUCUUCAGUUGCUAGGUUCCUAGCAGAGACAGAGAUUUGGAGAAGAGAUAAAAAUAGAAAGAGUUUAAACACUAACGAAUACAUUUUUCUUUUUUGAGGAAAAGUGAAAGAGAAGAUUGUGUAAUAGUGAAGGAAGUUUGGUUUUGAUGUUUAGAUUGGUUUGUGAGAGAUAUGGAGUGUGAUGGGGCUAUAUAUAUGCCUCUCUGAGUGGAUAUUAUUAUUAUUAAAAAUUGAAAUUAGAUUUUGAAUAUGUAUUAAAUAAUAAAGGUGGAAAAAAGAGAGAGGUAUGUUAUGCUUUAAAGUGAAAGAGAAAGGGAAGUUGCAGAGAAAUAGGAAAAAGAGUAAUGGACCAUUGUACUGUUGCCAGCUAACGAAUGAUUCAUAGUCCUACGCAACUUUUGGUUUAUGUUAAAAUUUGAAUUUGAAUUAUGUUAUGUUUAUAUUGUGUGAUGUCAUUAUAAAUUACUCAGUUUCUACUCACACAACUUUUUUUUAUUACUAAUAACUUUGGUAUAUGUUAAAAUUAUAAUUUUUGUUUGUUUCAUUGUUAUGGUUAUAUUGUGAAAUAAAUUAAUCAGUUCCUUUAAUGAAUUCAUUACAAGUUUUCAUAAAAAUAUGAAUUAUUUUUUUUUUGUCAACAUAAAAAUAUGUAUAAUGCUAAGUAUAACUUCAUAUAAAUUUUAUGAGUAUAUUUUGGAUUCUGAUAAGACUAGAAUGAGACAUAGGAUUCUUGUGGUAGAAGCUGUACAUGUUGUGGAUUGUUUAUUUAAUAGUACAAAUUAGAAAUUGAAUCAAGUUGGACCAAUAAAAAACUGUUGUUAGUGGUAAAUAAACUAAAUAUUAAAGGAAUAAUUAGUAUUUCUAUAUGUAGUAUACACUGUAAGAAUUUAAUAAAAAGUUUUAACUGUGUCAGAUUAAGCAAUAGUUUUUUUUUUUUUUUUUUUUGUUGGCCAAUCUAUUAAGAUAAAAGCCCAAUGGGCAGUACAAGGAGGUGAAAUACAGAAGCCCAUUUCCAACAUUUGCGACCUUAAUUAAAAUAAAAGCUGCCUAAUCUUAAACUAAUUAGUGAAAGAUUAGGAUGAGAAGGUCCCACGUGCAACACCAUGUGUUAGCACGCGAGAAGGAAAAAAGAAACAGUCGGUGCCGGCAAAUUCCACGAGUUGACACAACACCGCCGCCGGCUUCGAGCAUCCACCACCGCCAUCCUUCUACAGAUUUCGCUUUUGCCUAUCAGAUUGAAGACCACCGGUUCUGUCUGAUAGAAGCUUAAGAAGACUUCAAAGAUCUUCACAUCUUAACCCGAUCCCUUGAAUUGGAAGCUACGCCUAUGACCUAAAGAGGCCGCCGACUACAACAGAGUCAGAUGAAACGACGAAGAUAUUACUCCGAUUGAAGAGAGGAGUCAAGUUAACGGUGAGACGGGGAGAUCAAUGGAUCGCAAGAGGAUAUUGAUUGAAUCCUUGUAGAAAGAGGAAGCAAAACACAAUCCAAACUUAGAGAACUAAGAUGGAUGUUAGUAGAUCCGAUUAAAACCGGAGAAAGGUCCGACAAAACGGAAAGACGAAAUCCGACUAUAAUCGGAAAACUGAAUAUAUUACAGACAAAAGCCACAAACGGCUGAAGAGAAUUCCGGUAAACCGGAAAUUACCCUCUCUCUAAAAGAUAGAAGUGCGUUAAGAGAGAGAGGAAUUUUUUUUAAGCAAUAGUUACAUACAGCCAAUAAAAAUUGAUUAAUAAGAGGAAUCAAAAUUGACUAUAUCGAUAAAAUGUGUGGAGGAAUAUACAGCUUAACAGCAAUAACUUGAAAUGACGAAAAUACCCUUGUGCAAGCUGUGUUCUUUUUUUUGGUAAAGCGCGUGGGCAGUUAAAGAAAAAAUGUGAAACUUCUGAGAGACGUUGGGAGGACUUUAAUCUUUAGGACAGGCUGGAUAAUGUUUUUAAGACAAAAGACUUUGGAGAAGUAGAGAUAUGGGGAAGCGUGUACAGCUGGCAGUUAG
Molecule: long non-coding RNA, 53430 nt
Filed under: Arabidopsis lyrata
Lineage: Eukaryota; Viridiplantae; Streptophyta; Magnoliopsida; Brassicales; Brassicaceae
Description: long non-coding RNA (ALYR_LNC001377)
Source: RNAcentral